GAGAGACAGCUUUUAAGUCAGUAGCGAAAGCCUUAGUUAUGUGGUUAAGCAUGAGGUAGUUCGAGCCUUGUUACCGAUCAGUCCCACUUCUAUUAUGAGUAGUUGGAUUCCCACUUUGGAGCUUUAUUCUUACCCCUUCCCUUAGUCGGUGCAGAAAGGAAAGGAUUCAAGUGGCCACUCUGACUCUUACAGAUAGUAUGAAAUCCCCUGUUUUCCUAACCGGGCAUGAUAGUUUUCAGAAUUCAAGUAAGUAAUGGAAUUCCUUGUUAGUGGAGUAAGUCAUAUAGAAAUUCCGUAUUGGUAGCACUGGUUUCGUUCUGUUAGGUAGUGCUCAAUUACUGGUUGAUAGUUGAGUUUUGCUACUAGCAAGUUCAAUUCCAAGUGUGUGUGGGGCAUAGUAUAUAUUCUGCAUUUCCGUAUUGGAAGCAUUAUAGCAAAAGUCCUGUUAGCUGCGAUUUAAGCCUUAUCAGUAGUAGCUCCAUUCUAGUAUGCCCGAGCUCGGGCCCUUUUCUCAUAGAUUUCUGCUUUUUAUUGGUUGGUAGUUUUCUUCUAAGGCCUCUAUACACGCUAUAGGGUUCGGUGUCAGUAGGGCUCUUGAUUGACUCCAUCUUUCUACGUGUAACACAUGGAUUAGACUACAAAUACUAACGAACCUUCUACCGAACUAUACCUCUAACCUUCCCGAACUAUAACCACCAUUCUCAUUUCUCAUUGAAAACCACCUUGCUCGAUCCCGGCAUUAAAGAAAGAAUAGUACAAGCGAAGGGGCUAAGUCAACCCCAAGAAUUCCACUUCUUUAGCCUUGGGCCUGCUACUUCUAAGUUGGAUUCUGAGAUUCCUUAUGAACCAUCAGGUGUUCCCUUCUUUGUUUCCUAUCCAAUGUAUCUCCUCACUUUCGAAUUUCAAUCUGUAUUUCCAGUAAAGUAUAAGUACUCUUAACACUAAGUUGAAUUCUCACUUGAAAACUUGGUAUUGGCAGCUGAGCGCUACUACUAUAUACUAUAAGAAUGAGCUAUGUUUGGAGGUGCCUCAGAUCAACCCCAUAAGAUAUGUGGAAAGAAAACAACCCCACUAUUUGUAUCAAUAGAAAAACGACCUUACUAUUGACAGUACCAAUGUUAUUGUGAUUCUUGCUUUUGUUUGGCAGUUCCGAUGCUAUUCUCUUUCUAUUGGUGUUGGAUUUCCCCGUGGGUGUUUUCACAGCCUUAUCCGUAGAAACAUAUUCUAGUAUAAGAUAAUAGGUAAGUGAUGCUCAUAAGUAAGAAGUCAAUGCGGAAUACAGUUUGGAAGCAAGUAAGAUAGGACUGGUUUCGCAGAGAAAGAGGAAGAGGAAGUACUCUACACCAACAGAGCCUGCCGCUACUGGUAUGAAUUCUCCAUCUAUUGACGCCAAGCCCACUUCCAACGAUUUCUUGCAUCUUGCCCAGGGCACCUUAGGCUUUACUGCUUACUUUGACUCUUCCACUACGGACCUCGGAUCCACCCUUCCCGGACAACUCACUGCCGAAAAGAGUGUAGCGGCGGAUUGACUACUUUAAAGACAUAAUAGGCUAUGUGGUUGGUGAGACAGAUACCUAGGUUUGGGCAAGGCGCAGUACCUGACUACUUAAGUGCAAUUCUGUUUCCUUUGGUUUCAUCCUUGCCUGUAGUACUAGGUUAAAAGCAAGUAGUGCAAAGAUCCUACUCAGUAGAGAUAGAAUCGGCGUAAAGAGUCACAGUCUUGUAGGUGAAAUACAUAAUGUGAGGGAGGUUUUCAAGUCAGUAGUGGUAGCAUAGGGUGGUGUAGUAGCUUUCUUCGUUUAUGGCGUGUUUCAUUCGUAUUAGCUCUAUUUCCUAUUAGGUGUUUAAUUCAUUCUGAUUAGUCCACAACCUCAAAUUAGUAUUUAGUAACACUAUUCUUAGUAUCCAAUCCGAGGAGAGGGACAGUGACUAGUAGUAUCAAUCAGAAUCAUAAUGUUCCUCAGGGAUAAGGAAUUCAAGCUAGUAGCGGUGGACUUAACUAGGGGAGAGGCUGGUUCAUAUGCAGUUGUGAAAGGAGAAAAGUGAAUAGCUCGAGUCCUGUUAGCUGUAGUUAUCAUUCCGAUAGUAGUAAGUUCAAGUAUGAUAGUAAGGAGGUUCGCUAAGUCCUAUUUCUGCUAAGCAAAAGUGGAUUCUUGCCAGUACGGAUGCAUUUCUGGUUAUUAUCAGUUCCAUUCGUUAUUUACUAUUUCAAUGCCCUAUAGCUAUGCCCGGUAUACUCUAUUAUGUCUUUCAUUCCCUGGUAGUGGGGAGGUCGCCUAGAAGCACUAGCUCCAUUCUAAUAAGCAGUGAUUUCCGCCUUGGAACCGUUAGUUUCAGAAUAGAAGCAAGGUAAGUAAGGGCAGCGUGCUGGCUCAAAGGUCAGAGCGCUAGAAGGGUUUGAUAGCUAGGGGAUAAGGGCCUUAGAUAUGGUUGUUGACAUUACAAAUCAGAAUCAAAGGUAUAGUCAAUGAAUCAUAGGGUUGUUGGCGAGCACAAGUAAGGAAAACUGUCUGUUUGGGUGAGCUAAGCUCUAAGACUUCUAUUAGUCGGUGUCCUCUCUAGCAUAGGAAUCGGAAUAAGGAACACUGCAAUUGAACUCAAACAGAGACAUUAAACACAUAAAUACAGAAUUGAGCUCACCAGUAGCAUAAUCCAACUCCAAAGUCAGAAUGGAACUAAUAGGCAGUUUCUCUAAAUACAUAAGUGAGUACGUCACUCACAACUAGAGGUCUCCCACUCCCAGCCCAGUAUAUGAUUCUACAGCUUAUUGUUUGACUUGUCAUUCUUCCAAGCUAAAUGACCCAUGCCUUUCUUAGUAAAAGUAAAGGGAGAAUAACUAGAGAUUGUUCCUUAGUAAGUGGAAUGGAAAGUUCCUUAGUAAGUGGAAUGGAAAGCUUGCAAGGUCUAGACUGGUGAUCGAAAAAGAAAGAAUCCAUCUUGAUUAUUUGCCUUGGCCGGCCUGUUUCAAAGUACCUUCCAAAGUCAUAACCUGUUUCAAAGUACCUUCCAAAGUCAUAAAUAGAAAGAAGAAAUUCCAGAAAGACUGACUUAAUAGGCUAGGAAAACCCUACACUGUAUCGAUGGCACUGAGUCUUCGUCUUCAUCUCAAGCAAAAGAAAAUAAGCUAGAUCAGGAUCCACCCACGUAAACUAAGAGCAUUUCGGCAGAGGAUGCAAUACUGGCUUUAGCCUUACUACCUGAUGAAGUAGACAAUACAACUAGUACUGAAUGACAGAAAACAUACUCUGAGGCACUACUGGCAAAGUCAAUUGUGAAAAAACGGACUGGACUUUCAGACGUCAGCAGAGUGGAGCCUAUUUAUGGAUUUUCUUGACACACUAUCGGGAAUCGAGAAAAAGGCAAAGGGCGGCACGCACUUAGGAGCUUAUGUAAGUAAAGACUUGCUGUCGUUAGGGCAGUCUUUCCGGGUCAUUAUUCUUACUGAAUGAAAACCAUGACUAUAAUAUAAUGACAAUUUGUGAAUUUAGAGUACUACCGAGUUUGAUAGAAAGCUGUGCUAUGAUUAAGAGAAAGAUAUAGCCGUAAGCAAUUCACUUGAAAAGCGUUAAGAUAGGAGGCGAGCUACUCUCUACACAGGUUUGGAAUAUUACUAGCAAUCCAGUGGUACACAAACAAACUAACUAGAACCUUCUAUUACUUAUAGAAAACCUUAACGAACUAACUAGAACCUUCUAUUACUUAUAGAAAACCUUAUUUAUUCAUUUAUGAAACGGAAGAAGAGCUGCUACGGUGGGGGAACCUAACUAACCCAGUAAAUCCUAGGAGUCGGCACUUUUACUAAGAGCCCAGCAACUGAUCUAAAACAAAGGGGUCUAUUUACAAGGAUCUAAAACAAAGGGGUCUGUCUCUUGACAAGAAAGAAAGUAUGGAGAAAGUAUGAACUGGUUUCCGUGGGCGAACUCCUUCUACUAUGGGGGCCUACCCUACGACCCAUUUCAAUCGGGCCGCUGCGGCUCAACAAUUCACGCUCUUCGUAUCUGGGCUUUUCCACUACUCGGGACAGAGCUUUUCAGCAUUAGAGAAUCGAGACCGCUUACCGCCCUAUCUUUCACUUCGGGAGUUUCAUAUUAACAUAGCACUUCCAUCCAUACCUCUCACGAUCGGCGUUCAGUCUUUGUCUUAUGAAUUCGAUCUCUGCCUCUAAGGUCUAGGUAAAGAUCUGCACGUCCAUAAAUAAGGCAAUCGGUAACUGCGCUUCAAACCGAAUUAAGAAAGAGCGAGCGCAUCUGGUUACUAGAAAGAUCCUAUCCGACUCGGUCGAGCAAGACCCUAAGCAGGAUCGAGCUGAGGCUUCCACGACGGGUCCAGGUCUAUUACCUUAGUCAGUCUUUCAUUCAAUUCAGAGGUGCCGUGCCACAAGCCGCUCGAAUUCAGAGAAGAGUCUUAUUGGGCGACACAAAGAUCAGACAAAUUGCAUCCAUCGGGACAAGAUCGAAAAGAAUGGGACAUCGCUAUGGGAUUUGUUGGAAAACCCUAACCGCGACGACGUCUUCCCGUCUUUACCCUUGGUUAGCCCAAGGCGAGAUUGAAGACAAGUGUUUUUCUCGAUCUCGAGCAAGAAGCGGAACUCAAAGACAUUUCUGACGAUUAUGCCCAACAGCCCACUUGAGCAAUUUGCGAUUAUCCCAUUGAUUCAAUUGAAUAUAGGAAACUCAUCUUUCGAAAGCCACUUAAGUAGAAUUAGAAGUAUCUCCGUAGGUACUGUUUCAAUAGAUCACCUUUUUCAUUCAGUCAGUAGAAAUCUUGAUUAUGACAUCCCAAUUCCUUCCCGAGACCUCCCAAGGCGAAUCAGAUCCAAACGGGUGAGUUUGAGCUUAUCCAUGCGGCAUUCUUCGAAUAGGAAUCCAUUUGAUGAAAUAUCUUGCUUUGGUUUCCGAGAUCCUUUCGAUGACCUAUGUUGUGUUGAAGGGAUAUCUAAAAGAAAGAGAUUAUUCGAUCGAUUGCUUAAAGCCCGAGGUAGCAACGGAACCAGGGAAAGUCUACAGAAACCACGGUUAUAUUAGCAUUUUCUAUUUGUUAGUCAUCUCGGUUCAGUGAGUGCUUUCUUACUAUAUUCACUGGCUAGCUAGAGUCGCUUCACUGUAUAGCUUUGCUUGGGGCCUCUCUCUUAAAUAAAGGGGUGUUCCUGGUCAAAUGAUGGAUCAAGGGCUUGGGGCCUCUCUCUUUUCUACCAAUUUGGGGUAAGGCUAGAGCAGAAGCAUCAGAAGCAAGAAGCGCCCACAUAAGCUUAAAGGGCUUAGUAGACUACCACAAGGGCAGAAAUUAGCUAAUUCAUUCGGAUCGGGAAGAAGAUGGCUUCUUAUUGAAACUAAAACAUAGUCCAAAGCGAUUUCGCAGCUUAGUUGUGGGAGUCCUCCUAUAUCCUUCCUAAAGCUUCCGAAUGGGGAGAAUAUUGACGGCUGCACCAUUAUCCACCAAUACCUUUAUUAGAGGCAGAAGCUGGUAGUUUCACCUAUCCCUAGUAGAAAGCCGUGGAAAGAUUACCUUAUUUCUUCACCGGCUACCACUGACAGAAAGAACGGAACAGGAAGGACCCCAAUGACUACGGUUUGCCCGGAACCUACUGAGACCUGAUCAUGAGCGACUCUAGUUCUAAAAGCAUGUCUUGUAAACUAUAAGAAUGCUGAUCAAAUGCAUUUCCUUUUCUGAACCACACACCAAGAUCGAAAGAAAAGAAUGUAGUUCCUGGGCCUAUAAGACUGCCUGCUGAUUUGCUUGAUUUCUUCUCUUCUCAGUUGACGGUUUGAUAGGAUAUCGAUCGGUCUUUGAAUCUUGCUUUUAUCCACCCUUCUAGCUAGCCUAAUUGAAACGGGAGCAAAAAGGAAGGAAGGACGAUUUAUCCCCACGGUGCGGUAUACUGCUCCAUUGAUAAGAACUGCCUUCCUAUACGAAGAAAUCCAUCCUUAUUGGGUUUGGUUACAUACCUCCUGCAUGUACUUACUUCUGCAUUUCCCUAAAAACCUACUUCCUGGUGGCUACCAUCUCCCAUCUCGCUCUAGAAUAGAAAGGGAGGGCAGGGAAAUCUGGUACUAUCAAACAAAGGUCCCGUCCCACAGCGCCGACUACAACCUCACCAGAAUUCUCUCGUGCCAUUUGAUCCUUUCUGUGUGGGCAAACUACUAAUGUAUUGAUCAGGACGAAAACUCUACAAAUUACAUGGAAAAAGAAAACACAGGCCGCAGAGUCCUCUCAGUCCACGAGGGCGAUAAGCUUAGCACAGGAACUUAUGGUCUAAACUGACAGUGGAAUCGGGUCAACUGCCCUUUCUCGGUCGAAGCUUUAGAUCUCAGAGGUCCUUGUGAUCAAUCCAUUGGAAUUCUAUUGGUGUGUCGGUCGCCCACUCGGAAUGGUUACUGGACAAGAAUGACUAAAGGCCCUUUUCGCCCGGCCUGAUGAACUCUUCCUUUCAUGCUGGGCAUAGAGCUGCUAUGGCGGUGCACCUAUACAUCUUGAUGAACCUUACACAAUGGUGGAUCAUAUAUUAUAUAUAGGAAUAGGAUGGCUCACAUUACAUUAACAGCUCUUCCAUUCUUCCAGAGUGGUUUGAAUAAGUGGAAUCCCAUUUCUUCCAGAGUGGUUUGAAUAAGUGGAAUCAAAUACUAAAGGGUCCCCGGGAGAAGGCAUUUUAGGACAAACAUCUACACGUAACCAUGACCAACUUACUGUCAUGCUUACCGAAACUACUAGAAGUCGAACUCGCUCGCGGGUAGGGAGAAUUGGUUAACAUUCAUUCCCAGCUAACCAACUGAGUGACUAGUGGUGGGCAAGAGGGUUUACAGGGUUAGGUAGUUGAUUUAUGAAAUAGGAAUUCCUAGUUCACCAUUCGUUAGCUUUCGAAACUCCUGGGAUAUCGACGAGUCAUCGCCUUGAGUCUGCCCUUCCUAGUUAGGCAAUUGACUCUCGCCCUUACCAUAGGCACCGUUCGAUGAAAGGCACUAUCGACUACGUCUUUCUUGAGUACCGCACGAUGCCACUGUCCGAAAAGGGUAUCCGCCACCUCUGCUCAAAGGAUAUGAAUAACAUCAUUGUAGCUGGGCAACAUUGCGCUGUCCCUGGGCUGGUCAAUGGUUAAGGGUAGCUGAAUCCACUGUAGGCGAAGUGGUUACCCGAACCCACCUACGAACCUCGAAUAUACGCGAAACCGGUUUCGUAUCUAAGAGCUGGAUACCUUCUUAUUAAGAUUUUUUCUCGACUCUUUCGAACAUCGUUUUCUGGACUCAGACUCACUAGCGAGUGCAUUUCCGUCUUAGAGCUUGAGCAGUUUGUCAAGUAGUCAGAGGAUUAUCGUGCUGGUCUUACUAGCAAUGACUUUAUUGCGGGUGCUAUGGAAUAGUUGGUGGGGGAGUUCCAUCAUCAUCCCUUCAUGAAGUAUGUAAGGUAGUUGAAAGAAAGCUAAGGGCCAAUGACUGGGGCUCUUUUCGAGCGCAAUAAGGGAGUCCCUCAGGUUAAAGAUAUUCUCACUGCCAAUAGGAAGGUAGAAUGAUAGCCUAUAAAAACUAAAUGGGGCUUCUUCUUUGGAUCUGUGUUACUCAUAGGGUUGACUGCUUGGUGGGUCGAGAAUGCCUUACAACUAACUCUCUUUGUCCGGGCUUGGCUGGUUUCUUGGGUCCGGUCCUUAGCUGGUGUGAGGCAAGAAGGAAGAGAGAGGCCUGUCUACAUGCGUUCCAAAGCCCUGGAUCAGAGUGCUUCGCCCUACCACUAGUAACUCUAUUGGAAUUGGUCGCUCCUUGAUUAGAGCAUGGCAAUUCGAUUCAGAUUUGGCAAUCAAUUAGAAGGGUCCGGUCCCCCAGAGGGAGAUCAAGAAACCGCUUUGAAUCUCUGAGUUUAUCCCCCGGGUUCUAAGAAUAGCUGGUGCCCUAAAGUACUCUCCCCGGCUCAAAAACGGUUAGUGACUGGUCAUAAAACGCCCGGACUGGUCUGUCUAUAGAAUGCCCUAAAGUCCACAGUUCGGAAACCAAGGGAGUGCCAUUAAGGAGUUCUUGAGAUCGGUACCUGUCAGUCAGUGCUCGCUUUCUCUUAGGCAAUGAAUUGAGAGUGGAGAAGUCGUCUGUUCUAGGCAUAGCUUGAACCCGAAAAACAUCUAUUCUGGUUUUUGGUAUCGAGAAAUCCCCUUAUUUAUUUCUGACUAACUACAAUGCUACACUCGCCGUGGGAAUAAAAACACCUGAAUGCAUGACUAAUUGGGAGACAACAUAGUAGUGAAAUUGGUGCCUUAGUGCCAUAGAAAGUGAUUCGUAAGGCGAGCGAGGUGGACAUCAGUAAUUUCGAUUGCCAGCAAAAAAGACAAGUAAUAAACGGAAUGGAAGAUCUCGUUUUCUCUGUCCCCCUUUCUCCUUAGUAAGCAAAAAAGCGAGAAUCCUAUUUUGUAUGCUUAUGUGCACAAUCCCCAGCUAGGGUAUCGGUAAAGCCCUUUUUUGUGAUAUAUGAGAAUGGAUUGAACGAGUUUCAAGCAAGUUCCAAUUCAAAGGUGAGUCGGCAUGUAAUGGACUGGUAGAUUAGGCUCCUAGCUGCUUCCAUGGAAUGAGAUUCGAGUGCGUGGAUAAAGGAAAUGAGUAAAACUGCUUCCUUCCGUCUUUCAUUAGGGUUCAUCUAUAGGGAAAUCAUAUAGUACGGGUUCAUCUAUAGGGAAAUCAUAUAAUAACUACGUCAGAGUCGGAGUGCCACCCCGCAGAGUGAGGCUUAGUUUUCAUCAAGAGCUUGUUCAUUCAACAGGUUUCCGUCAAUCCAAUCUAGCUUCGUAUGUCUACCCUAGCUAGAGAGAGUGAAGAUGGAAUGAUUUGACUCCAACUCCUAGCGUGCUAAGCCUCCGUAUGCUUUUUCAUAAGAUCCCUCCCACUACUCAGCUUAUUAUUUCUUGAACGGAACUGCGAGACUAAAGGAUGUGAAACCGCGCAGAGGGUGAUGGAAAUGCCAGGAACGUGGACUGAUUGAAUACUCUCUAGCUUAGCGGUACCCUUUUUUAGGAUGUGAGCAAAUAACGUCAGCAAUUAUCAUUUCAUUGUCCUAGUCCUAAGGAUGUGAAGCAGCGGGCGGGCUUACUUCUAUCUUAAGAUGUGAAGCAGCGGGCUUACUUUUUGCUUUUAUAUAAAGGAGAAUAUAAAUGAAUGUUUAUAUAAAGGAGAAUAUAAAUGAAUGACAUCGUAAUAUAAAUGAAUGGCAUCGAAGCUUUAUACUCAAGAAUCCAAUUCGACCGCUUCCCUAACUAACCUAUAUUCAACAUCAAACAAGUUGCUAACUGCUGCUGAUAAGCGACAUUCAACCUGGCCAAGCAACGCCGAAACAGACUGACCCAAGGGAGUUACAGAAUGAAACCCGAAAGUAAGAGUUGAGCUCAUAUAAGCAAGAAUACAAGUAAGUAGCCCGGACUCAAACUAUUCACCCUAAAUGCGACUACUUCAAUUAGAACUCUAGAACGGAAAUGACCCUCGGGCAACCAUACUCUCGUGCUACUACCCUUGACUUUAUAUGCAUUCUUACUUCCUUCUGCUUCAAAUACUGUCUUUUAUUCUGACUUUCCUACUUUACUACUCGCUAAACAUUACUACGCUACCUUAGGUGAAUUCCACAUUUCCACUUGCAGUUCUGUGCUGUUGAAAGCAAAGAAAGGUCGGUGUUGACUCGCUACCGCCCAGAAAACAACACUUAGUCAUAAUUCUGUUUAAUAUAAGUGAUGUGUUCGGUUACGCGGCAGUCCGGGCUACUUAGUUUGCUGUGGUUCCAUGUUAUACUAAUCGUGUCCUGUAUUCGCGAUAUACGUCUGAUACGGCGCCUAGAUAUAACUGAUACUAAUAUACUGGAGUUUUGUUCUAGUACCACCUUAGGAGUUGCAGAAUUCUAGCAAGGACAAUAAGAAUCAGAGAAUGGGGGUAAGUUCAGAUCCGAGGUCAGUAAUGCCAAGGUUCGAGGGUAGCUGGGGAAGAGUCAAGAUAGUAGGCCAGUUUGCCAGUAUAGAGAUUCUAGUUUGAUGAGUUUGAUUCUAAUAGUUAGCAGCGAUAGCCUGUUUGCCCGUCGUACUGUUCGCCAGAGUUCGAUUCUCUCGUUAGUAGAAGUAAAAGCCUUUGUUCCCGGCUCAAUUCUGUAUGUUGACUCCUGUUCUUCUGCUUAGGAGUGCGGUUCCCUCCUAUCCUCCCGAUACCCGCUCUUUUACUGAUGGGCUGGAUUCUUUAACUCCAAAGUGAGUAUGCAAGGGAAAACUCCGAGUCUGAUGGACGGGGAAGCAAGCCGUGGAUGAAGCCAGGGUAGGCUAAGAAGUAGGAAAGCUAGACUUCAAGCAAGGGGCGGGUCCCCAAGUAGUCAGGAUGCCAGGAAGGAUACAUAGAAUUACAGCAGAGGGCCCCCAAUUUGAAUAACUCUCCCAGAGUGGACAAGCGAUACAUAAAAGGUCUGCUGGGGCAUAGAAUAAGACGUGUACCGCCAGGUUAAGUUCAAUUAAAUGACGAAGUAAGGGUUAGGUUAAGCGGGUAGUGUUUAAGAGUGAAAGCGCUGAGAGGGAAGGAUUAAUAAAAGGGGAAAGAAGUCAGUUUGGUAGUUAUCAUUGGAUAGUUAGCAUUGGAUAGUUAGCAUUGGAAGAACCGCCAAGUCACUACAAAUGUGACAAUGAAUUCUUUGUUUACGUUGACCGCUCAAAAGAAAGAUUCCAGUUUUCUAGAUUCGAUCUAAAUUCCCAAACAAGAACAUGCGCUCGAAAAUAACUGUUUGAAGCUGAAGCAUUAAGUAUUGUCAGGACCAACUGCUCUCAUAUCAUAUAAAAAAGGGUAAUAUGUUAGACUCAAAUGAACUAGAACAACUGAUAGUAACCUAAAUGGGAAUUUGCCCAUAAUCGGAGUCACCCCUAUGUGAAACUUAGCUAAAUCAAGGAAUAUACUAAGAUCCAUGUGGAGCAAAGCAGAUCUCCGUUAAUUGAGUUAGAGUGAAAGCACCAGCAAACAGGAUUGAUAUCUGAAGCAUAAGAAGGAAAGCCGAUGAAGCAUAAGAAGGAAAGCCGACAAUAUCAUAUAUGUUAUCAAGCCCACGUAGCGGUAACCAAUAGGUUGGUUAGCUGAAAGAGCGAGGUCAGGCAAAUCAGAAUUCCAUUCAAAAGUCCGGGUAUGAGUAACAAAUAUAAGAAUCAAACUAAUAAGUAAGCCUACCUGUCUUGUCAGUGAAUCAAGUGAAUCAAGCUAAUAAGUAAGUAUACCUGCCUUUGGAUAUGAGCUAUAAGCCAUUGAAUAGUAUAUAUCAGAAUGGAACUACCAGCUCAACUCCUUGUUUCGAGUUCCAUUUCUCGUAUGCCUGGGUUCGGGUCUUGUUAGCUCGGGCUCAACUCUAAUAGUCAGCAGCUCCAGCCUGUUUGCCAUUGGUUCUAUUCCGAGAAGCAGUAGCAUUGGUUCGAUUCCCUUUAUUGAGUAAGUCAGUCAGGAAGCAACGGGCCAAGCAACGACUAGACAAGACGGCCCCCCAUUGCCUUGCCUUCGACCCAGAUAGAAAACAUUUGGGUUCUUCGCUGCUUCUAUAUUGCUCAGUAUAGCACUCUAAGAAUCAGUUUCCAACAAACGGGUGUUUUUCUAGAAUCAAUCAAUCUAUUAAUAUAGGUGGCCCAAUAAACUACAUGAAUGGAAGAUGUUUAUGAUGACUGGAUUGACGUAAGGACCAGCACGCUCGCUAUUAAAGGUAGCUUCUAGCUCUACCCUUUGUCUUUAUUUCCCCUUUCUUUUGAUUCAAAAAAGGAAUGGUGAAUAUAGCCUUUAGUCUUUAGUUAUGGUGAAGGAACCUUGGGCUCAGGACGGAUUUGACAGGUUCGAUUCUCUUUGAUUUUGUUUGAUUGAGAGUAAUAGUGUGCCUUAAGAAAGAUGCGUACCAACGAGGGAAUGAAUCGACGAAAAAGUGGAAAUCCGAAAUUAGCAAAGUGUGAAUUCUCUUGGAAUUGUAAUAGUAGAAAGGCUUAUCAAAUUGGACAACACAUUUGAUUUGAGAUUAUUCGCCCUCGUAUUAUACAUCAGCUAGAAGCUAUUUUGGUUCAUCAGCUAGAAGCUAUUUUGGUUAAGGCCCAUUAGUAUUAGUUGUUCUUGAAUUAGUGUCCUAUUUCUUGUCACUACCAAUUAUAGACGAUACCGAUAAAGAGUUGUCGGACUUUGUGAGUGCAGUAAUACCGUCUGCGUAGUACUCAUUCUUUCUGUAGAAUUGAUUAGGUCGAUACCAUAACCUACACUACAUAGUUAUGUAGCUCCUAUGGGAGGAGGAGCCCAUGAUACGAGUAAGCAAACCAAUGCGCCCAGCCCACUCCGAGAGCUAACAGGUGGAGCGGUCGGUAUUCUCACUGACAGGUUGUAGGUUCGAAUCCUACGCGGGGUUACGAAAGCUCAAAGAAGUAAAUAGAGAAGCUGUUAGCAUUGAUUUGCGAAUGAAAUAAGUCUGUGAAUAGAUUGACUGCUCUCGCAUAUCAGCUGUAGAAAGUGAAUAUAGCAUAUCAGCUGCCCUUCUUACUAGGCUUACUUUAGGUCGGAUAGUUUUCAAGUGAUCAAGUCAAAACUCUUUUAUGUCAAUAGAGAAAGCACAUUAAGAAAGAAAGCAAGUAAUUAGGUUUAUUGUUGAGAAUCUUUUGAAAUGGGUUCCCUUUCUUUAUCUUUAGGGCGAAGGGAUGGGCUUUCAAGGGAAUGAAUAGGCAUCUGAUAAGACCCCGGCCCCUACGAACCUCGUUAUUUCUUUUUUCCACACUAGGAACAUAGUAGUGGUUGUAGCUUCGCUCCCUUUGCCACCGGCCCUUGAUAUCAAAUAAGAAAACCACGAUCUCGAUCUUUCAACGAGGAAAUGAAACGCUAGAACAAGAGCAAGCCCAAGAGAAAAAAGAGCUCUUCCAAAUCCAAUAUAUCAUAUAAUUUCAUAUAGAACAUAUAAUUUCAUAUAUUAGGGGUAAUGAGGUCCGACCAGACUACGGCUUCGGCUCCCUCCUCCUCGUAAUAGAACUCCAACUGACUCAAUCUAUAGGUCAUAGGAAUGAACCGUUUUUACCCGAUCUGUCUCCUUACCAUGGCUGGUGCAUAGCUAAUGCAUCCCCAAGGUCCUAACAGGGGAACUAAGGGUCAUUACCACAUCUGCAAGGGUCAUUACCACAUCAGUAUAAUACCUGACACGGAGCCGGGCCCCAUACAAUACUUUUCUCAUUCAUGUCUUGCCCAUACAAUACUUUGAUCAUUCAUGUCUUGAAGGAGACUUAACCUAUUGAAGUUUGGUAUACGGUCCCGUCCAUUUGCUCUUCCUAAAUUCUUAUACAUGGAUUUUCUCCUGCCGGCUUCGAUAAUUGGCGUUCGCAGCACUCGAGAUGACUUCUUAUCCAGACGUACAAUAAUGCACCCUAUGAAUCGUCCUUAUCCUUUGGUCCGGAAAAAGAUUGGAACGUAUUCGCCUGUAUUGCUGGUAAAGGGUUGGUUCCAUGUAUGACUUGACUGAAAAGAUCCACCACUCGAACAUCCACCCAAGGCCUUUGGGGGAAGAGAUAGGUUCUAACCCAGAGUAAGCCAGUGCCAUAAUGAGUAUGCCCGCAUCAGAAUCUGGGUGCUGUUCAACAACAGUCUGCAGAGGAAUGGGCUAGUAUCAAAACCUAAACCUUAUCCUUUAUGUACGGAUCCAGUUCAUAUGCGUGUAUGCCCAUCAUUUUCGCGAGUUAGCUCUUGAAACCCACCUUUCCGCUCAUGCAAAUGUUCAAAAGGCUUUGUUUGUCUGGACGGCACAUUGAGCAAGACAGUGUAUUCUUCAAUGGUUAAGAGUAAUAUCAAUUGAGCCGAAAGUAUAGCAUCGGUAGUUAGGAUCCCGGACUGGCAGCCUUUAGUAAUUAGUAAUUGGUCGUCAAUGGGAACUUUCAGAAGAGAGCCAAUGUGUCCAUACUUACGGCAAAAUUAUGGCUUUCUUUCUUUAUAGUAGCAAACCAUCCUUUACAGACCAGACCUUAUCCAGUCCAGAGCGAAACUAUAGUUCUUCCUAGGAUCCAGGCUACCUUUUUAGGCAAUGGAAUUCCCUUUGUUUAUGGUAGGAAAUCUAAGGCCAAUAAUUCGAUCACCAUUCCUGGCUCUUCGCAUAUGGAGAACUCGAAGAAUUAGGGUUAGGCUGUAAAUUACAUAGAAUUAGAAAAAGCGAUAAUAAAGAGGGUCUUUCAAUGAUAGCUAGGAGCGCUGUUUCCUCCAUAUGCUAGAUUCAAUGCCAUAGAGGAUAGGGAAAAGAAAGGAUGCAAAAGUAACAAAAAGAAAACACAGAGUUUGUAAAGUGAAAAGAAAGGUAGAGUUUCCAGGAUAUGAGUAAGGUAAGAUAGCCGCUUUUGCCUAAGCUGAGCUUUCUUUCAUAGCUUUUGCUGUAAACAAAGAAAGACUUAGAAUCAUCCUAGUACUAAUCGGGGGAACUUCCUCUAUAAAGGCUCAUUUUCACCCUUCUAUGUCCCAAAGUCAAGUUUCAAUCAUGUUCUCCCUUCUCUGUCCCAAAGUUCCGUUUAAGUAUAGAAUCCAAGUUCUGUUCUAUCAGUAUAGAAUCCAAGUUCUGUUCUAAUGGAUUUAGACUAGCAAUUCCUUCCUUUCGCCUAAUCAAAGAUAUAAGGUGGCACCCAAACGAAGAAAUAAGAUAAGGCCCUCCUCACCUCAAUGCUAUGGAUCAGAACCCGUAGUCGAGUGGCAGAAGGCUCAGUAAGAAUCCAUUCUUGCCUUGAAAGAAAAUCCAACUAAGCCCAUUGCUUUGACUUUCUUUCUUGGAAGUAUUUGAUUCGUUGCAAGCUUUGGGAUUGCUAGUAUUGCUUGCUUUCUCAAUCAUUGUCGAGAGAGAUGGAACUGAUUGAUUGGAGCGGGUAAUGUUUACCGUGCGGGCUUAGUAACGAAUGGUUCAUGAGGAAACAGGAAUGUUUUAGUUGAUCAAGGAAGGGUUUGAGUAGAAAAGUCAUGAAUGGAAUUGACUUGCUGGUGUUAACUUGACUACCUUGGUUUGUGAAACAGUGAUGCCUCCAAGGUCGGGUAGAGGGAAGAGUGGAAUCUCCAAACUCAUUGGUCGAUGAAUUAUGUAUUGAUCAAUGGUUGUUAGCGAAUUGAGGCAAGGAUAAGGAUGGUUUGUGGCUCGUUCAGUUCCCCCACGCCCCUAUGGUUUAUUAACCUCUGGAAUACCCCUUCUUUUUCUUAAGCCGUCUGUGAAAAAGACCUUCACCAUCUCUGAUUGCCCUCGUCCAUGGUCACUGAUAUCAUAUAACCUCUGAUCUAGUAAUCUGAUCCGUGUGCACCUCAAACGGCACAUCGUCGUCCGGGCGCUUUAUUAAUAGGUUCUACAGAAGGUUGGUAAUAUACUCUUAUGUAAGUAAGCGUUCUUUCUUCGCGUCCGUCAUCGCCUGCUGCUGGUCUAGCCUUUUGACAACGAUCAACAAAUCGGUGUUGGUAAGAGUUUUUCGCCUUAAUGAACCGCCGGUAAGAGUUAACUAGUCCCAAACAAACCUAACCUCUUCGACUCGUUUCGGAACCUUACAUUCUCGUCGAGAUAUCCGCUGGCUCGUACCUUCCCAUUGUCCAUCUUGAUCAUUUCCUCGCUAAUUAAUCCAGUGGCCAAUAACCGUUCUUUCUGGUCUGCGAUGCAUUCUUGGCUGCCCCAGUAGUAGUCAUUGUGUCGUGGCACUCCUUUCUUUUGUAGUGACUUUCUCCAAUCUAUAUUAGGCGCUAGAUUGCAUUCCCUUUUGUGGAGCCUACUGAUCUUGCUUGCCAGUGGGUGGGAUAGAAGACCUCUUUUUAUCUGUCUUUCGCCAGGUUCCAAAUAGCAUUAUGUCUAAUAGCAUAGGUUUCAAAUCCAAUAAAAGAGUUCUUUGCGAUCAGUUCUAAAGCCAGCCUUUGAAUUGCAGGGUUUUCUCGUGAAAAGAUAGUGAACAAGGUGCUAUUAGAGCAUACCGACCUGACUCAACGAACACAAACACAAUUAAUAGAAUCAGCGUACUCGCCUCCAUAUACGCCAUCGCCUCCAUAUACGCCAUUUAUGAAGAUGGAAAUACUUACUGACUCCGCCCGCCGUCUCCCUCCCCUAAGACUAGCCAUACGUAAGAAGCCCCUAUUUCCACGCAUGCGUGUCAGACCGUAAAGGAAGGAGCAGCAUAGGUAUAUUAUUCGAGGUAAAACCAUGAUUGUUUAUAGUACCGGAAGGGUUUGGCUCGCGCUUUAGCGUCAGGCGCUCUAUUUUCUUUCCGCUGACUGGAGACUCAACCUUUAUACUGCUUAUGCAGCUUACUUCAUAUUUUCUUCUUCCCUUCUCUUUUUGAAGAUGGAAUUCCGGUAAAACAUCCUUUUUUCUUGUUAGCUGCCCUCGACUGGAACUUCUGGUUUGGGGAGCUCCGGCAGUGGGACGUCGAGUCUCAUCUCAGCAGAACCUUCUCUUUUUCCUCAAACUCUCUGAUGCUGAGAGAAAAGCGAACUCUUUCUCAUUGUGGUUUCUAGCAAAAGUGGAACACAUUGAGCUAUCAUGUUGAGCUUGCUCUUCCUAUUUGAGGGUUUCUCUCAAGAUGCGCUGAAAGAUAUGAAUGUAUUGUGACGAGCUGCUCUUGGAUACUUUCUUCGUAAACAUCGAUAUGUUUUUGCUUCCAAUGAAUAGGCAGCCUUGGAUGCUUCUUACCUUUGCUAGGCUGGGUACGGUUCGAUCAAUUGCUUCCAAAUCCUUUACUUUCUGCUCAAAGUGGAGCUUUUUUUUUUGGUGGCUACACGAGUCUUAUGAAAGAGAACAAAUCUCACAAAUAGCUAAUUCUGGUCGAUAAGUAAAGAGUGGGGCAGACGGAAGAAGUUCCUUAGACCACUGACUCACCUGCCUUUGAUUUCAUAAUUCCAGCUCUUCCGGAGUCUAACAUCUUCCGGAUCUCGUCAUUCCCCUCUGCGACUUCAGGCUCACUCAAUCCUUUAUACUGUAGAUGCAACAGCCUACUGAUUGUAAUUCCAGGGUACUUGAUUGUCGGUCUCAUAGGGAAUUGGAUUUGGAUGGGUUUGACUGUGGUCUGGUAGUGACACGUGAUGGUGAUGAUGAGUAGGAUUGCUCAUGGAGUUAGGUGUAAAGGAUAUUAAAUGGAAACGGGCUGGGGUGUUCCUUUAGUAACUGCAAUUAACCGUUUAGCAGGAGCCUCCUUACCAAGCAAGCAGUAUUCACUUCUUCGCGGGAUUACGGGUCUUGUUAUAAGAGAUGGUUUUCCUUUUGCCUGCGCUUUCAGCAAUACGAAAAUGGCUUAGUUUGUUUGUCUUAACCCAUCUAUUCUAAAAUGCAGAAGCCUUACCCUCUUCCUUUUUUCCUUUAUUUUGAGAAAGGCUUUUGUUCAGUCUUGAUUGUGUGUUGAGAAGCCAAGAUGUGAGACAACUAAUAUAAGAAGCAAUUGAUGCACAUCUGAAGUUGUUGCGCUUCGAAGAGCUCUUGCUCACAGGAGAGUUCCCUAUGUAACAGGAGAGUUCCAUAUAGCUUUCAAGUCAUCAACUCGUCUUGUCUUGACGCUGCUUGGCUUCCGUCAAUUCUUUCACGCCUACUGUCCGCGAGUUCGGUUUGUCUGCAAGACUCAAUAAAAGUCCAAAGUGGUUCCCGAACACAGGACAAUGGAUUUAUUACUGGCUUUGCUUUUGGCAACUUCACUGGUUCUCUUGCCCUACUAAAUGAGAUCUUCCGCCCCACUGCCGCUACACUGACUACGUUACUUGCCCAGUGUCUUGGCCCUGUUAACCGAGUAGUUAAUGGCUUAGCGUAGUUAAUGGCUGAACGCACCCGGACAGUCCUUGGAAUGGAUUUACCCCCCUAAUAUUUCUUAUUCCCUUGCUGGUUCUAUUGCGCUUACUGAGUGGACAGACACGGCGGGCUUCUUCCUUUCCUUUGGUGUAAGACUUGCUCUUGGAGCGAGUAAAGACACUGAACAAGUUCUUUCUUCUUAGGGAGCUCACACUGCUUAUGGGCGCUUCUGAUCUUUCUUCAUCUGUUGCUUUCGUUGCCUUUGCUCGAACUACACUGGAAUUUCAAACAGAAACCAACAAGCUACUAGAUAAGGACAAUAUGCAUGCAUCAUAAGGGCCAAGCUCAUACUUCAGAAUGGAAUGGAAUAGCAGUACAGGGUUAGUCGCUUUUCGGAAUUGUAAUAAUACGGAAUUGAAGUGGAAGUGCCUUUCGCACCCUAAACAAGGAGUGUAAGCGGCACUGAAUUCAUGCUUGGACCACUCCCAGAGACCAGACAUAGCCCAUUUGGCGUUGUUUCACUUAUGGUAAACAAAUAUGAUAGGGAAAAUCUAAUGGAAACUUGGAAACUGUCUUUCUAAUGAAUUUGGGGCCUAUACUCUUGUUUGUUUGCAAGCCGUUGAACUCAUGUAAGCACAACAUUCCGCUGCUUGUUUCACUGACAACUCACUUCCUUUAAUAAUGAAAGUAACAAAACGGAGCACUUACUCACUUAGCUAACUCCCUAACCCAAAUCAAAACUUUACUUACGAGCAAAUGUAGUAGUAAUGAUUUGAAUAAAGAUCAAGCAGCAGAUCGUUCUCCUGAUCUUGCUUCUAUAUGAUCAAAGGUGUAAGCCUUAACUACUAGAUGUUGGGUUACCCUUCACCCUUAACUACAAUAAGGACAAAGGCACAGGAUGCAUCAAAGAAAGGUGUUAGGUAUUGCAUAGAGAAAGGGAAUAUUCAAUCAAGAAGAGAUAUAGCUUCUGUAUCGGGUGCUAGUGUUGACGACGCUGAAUUAGGACUUGGCGCUUACAGAGUUAUCAGAUCUUCUGCGCACUAAGCAAUCUGAUAGACUACUUUACUUGGGCAAUCUUCAUGACUAAGAUCUUCCGCGUUAGGGAGUCAUGCUUCUGCGCACUAAAUUCCUGUGAGAGUUGACUGUAGUUCAAAAUACUUCAUUGAUUAUCGAGCAUAGAGUUCCAGUUUUCGGGAGUUUAGCGAGGCGAAAGUCAUGCUAUCAAGAAUCUUAAGUAUAAGGAAAGACUUCAUUCCGUAUUUGUUGAACAAGCAAGGUCAAAUAGAACAAGUGCUUUAGCGAGUUGUGCUUCAUAAGUGGAUCAUGAAACAGAGACCAGAGAAUAAGACAUUGAUUCUUUCUUUCCCGCUGACAGGAGAAGGCUUAUGAAACGAAACCCCACUUCCAGGAACCUCCGCUCCACUUAGAGAAUGGCAAAUCACUUACUUUAUACCUCGAAAGGCAGUUCUACGGCAUUGACGCCUAACAUCUUGACUUUCUACCCGCUUGGUCAAUCAAAUCUCAUGAAGACGAAAACCAUGGCUUCUUUACACAAUCUGUCACUGCCUGUCCUCUUAUCAGCAUGAACGAGCAUCCAAAGAAAGAAGAAUGUUCCCACCACUCUAACGAUUAUAGAACAACAAGCUGCUAUGGCGCACUCUGAACUGACGUUAGCACCCGAUCAAGCAAGUAACAGCUCUCGCUAGGGUCAAAAAAAGGUAUUUAUAGAUAUCUUGUCACGUUGAAAGAAAAGAUAUUGUUGUUGACUCUUUGAUAUUGGUGUGGUUGUGCUUUCUAUUCUUUUGCAUUCACAAGCGUGUUCUGAUCUUGACCCGAAGGUAGUAGCGGUAGCCUUCGUAAGGCAAGAAUGGAAUAGAGGGAGUUGUGAGUUAGCCCGUUAGCUUUGGAGUGAGUAGUGACUUUUGGAGUAAACGAGAGAGUAGAGAUGAUAAGAGUGGGUAGCCUCCGCGUAGAAGUCAUUGCCCCGCUGGAGCAAGCAAAGCAGGUUAGAGUACGGUUGGUGCUAGUGUUGCUUGUGUAUAAGUCUUAAAGUGAAUGAGUUCUUGUGCGAGUAACGUCUAGGAAAUUCUAGUAUAGGGCCAGCAAGUGACGUUCGAGUUGACUACUGAAUAUUUCCAGAAGCCGAAUCGACUCUCUCAAGCUCAUGGAGCGGUGUUGUAGCAAGGGAGCGGACCCACUUAUGCGCAAAGCUGUGAGUCUAAUCAUAUAAAGAAUGUUGAAGGCCCAUGUGACUCCCGAAACCUGGACAACGCGGUUCAGGCUAAACACCCCGCUUUCCAGUCGCCCUGGGUAAACGACUUUGUUAGCCUUACCCUUAACUUAUAUUUAGAUGCGUAGGCUAUACGAACUCCCUUACCCUUAACUUAUAUUUAGAUGCGUAGGCUAUCUGAACUCUCUUAACUGUAACAGAGACCAUGGAUCGAACUCUACCUCGCGCUACUAAAGCAUCAGCUUCAAUAAAAGGCAACUAAAGCACCCGAACCAAACUCUUGAACCUAUGAUUAUCUAUCGUAGCAUGUUCCUAAUUCUUAUCCAGUUUCGGCCGAUGAUCUUGUUCCUACUCUUUGCACUCUAACAGGUUACAUUCGGGGCUUUUGAGUCUGAUUCGUUUCCUUUCCGGGCUUUGGAGUGUCCUCUCCUGUUACUUACUUCCUAUGAACGCUAUAUUCCACAAUUAUUCAAUGAAGGUAUCGAGUCGCCAACACUGAGAAAAGUCAAGUAAGCACAACUGCUAAAGAUCAAGCAAGCACUUAAGAGGAAUGUUCUUUUGCACUCAAAUAUAGCUUAGCUCUCAUACCUUUACCUGCCUGGUACACAAGGGAAUAAGACAUAAAUGACUUUAACUAACAAAGGGUGAACUCCGUAAGCGAGCAGAACGUCAUUACUUAUAGGUUUGAAACAAAGCAGUGAAGUUAGAGUGGAGUGACUUUAUUCUAUAGUGUUUGUGUGUUUGUCAGUCAAAUUCUUUUCAAAAGGCAAUGGAACAAGGCCUUAAUUCAAAGAACUCGCUAACCCGUGAAAACAUCUACGAAGACAGGACUUGGUAGGAGGCAAGGAAGCAAGCUUUAGUGGAGGUAGUAAAGUAGGAGACAAGCAGUCAGAAUAGAACUAAGUAGUACAAGUAUAAGAAUCAUACCUAGACCUAUUAGUAGUUAUCGGAGAGAGGAAGCAAUAAGUACUGAAGAAUUGCUAUCAGGCAAGUCGACAAGUGUAACUGUAGUAGUGAGUUAAAAGAAAAAAAGGACUGGCUCGUAAANNNNNNNNNNNNNNNNNNNNNNNNNNNNNNNNNNNNNNNNNNNNNNNNNNNNNNNNNNNNNNNNNNNNNNNNNNNNNNNNNNNNNNNNNNNNNNNNNNNNNNNNNNNNNNNNNNNNNNNNNNNNNNNNNNNNNNNNNNNNNNNNNNNNNNNNNNNNNNNNNNNNNNNNNNNNNNNNNNNNNNNNNNNNNNNNNNNNNNNNNNNNNNNNNNNNNNNNNNNNNNNNNNNNNNNNNNNNNNNNNNNNNNNNNNUUUGUUUAGCUCCUGAAAACAGUGGAAUCCCUAGUUUGAUCUCUUUGCUACGAAAGAAGUUAUUGGUUCUCUAAGUCGUCAUAGGGAGAAGUUAUUGGUUGGCUUUCCCCUAUAGAGGUUGGUGCUUGACUUUAAUAUUGAUUGAAUUCUAUACCAUCGCAAGUCCUUGCAACUACUACAGACGCAACUCAGGAUAAGGAGUGUUAGGCCGAGUCCUUUCUUCGGGCGAUAGGGAGUUUGCUUCAGCUAGAGCUAGAUUCCAUUAUGUAUUUGUUGACAAGGGAUGAGCAACAAGUCCACCACACCAGUUCGGGCAAGACGAACAAGUCAAAGAAAAAGAUCUGAAUGCCGAUGCCUAAUAGAAAAAGUCAUUAAUAAAACAAGUAAGUAUAAGUAAGCGAGGCGAAAGUAAGGGUUCCGUCAGGGCAGAAGCUGAAGCAAGCAGACUAGUAACUACAGCUUGUUUCAAGAAGUGUUUUUUGCCAUAGGGGUAGUUACGCAAUAGCACAUUUCACUAUUCAUUAUGGGAGGUCAAGAAUACGAGUAUCCUGCUAGUCGAGGUAAAGUUUCAAGUAUAGUAUCUAUUUCUGCUCCGGGUAAAGUUUCUUCUGCUCGAGGUGAAGUUUCAAAUGUUGUAUCAAGACUUUAUGCGCGUAUCGAGUUACGUGAAGCUCGUCUCAUAUAGAGUAAGGAUCCGGAAAUGAUGUUUCUGUGCGAAAGGUCAGGUCAACUGAAAGCGGUAAAGGUGUAGUUCAGGGAAGAAAAUCAUCUAGUAUAGGUUCCAGUGCUUGUGUCUAAGGCUUACGCUCUGCCAGUUCCAGUUUCAUCUGUGUUGUCUACAAGAGAGGAAUCGGUGGUAUAAGUAGGAUAAGUCUCAGUAUCUUUAGAGGGAACAAGAACAAGAUCAACAGAUGGGGGAGCAGGUUAGGAAUAAAGAGAAGAAGCGCUGUACCCAAACUCAUUUAUAUACCUAAUGCUCUAUAAAUAAAGAAUUCCUCAUUGAUAACUAAACUAAUUGCAUUGAAGAAAGGAGGCUCAGGUUCCAAGAAAUGAUGAUUCGUCUGGAGUCUCGGAUCUUAUACAUGUUUGAGCCAAAGAGAGGUAAUUGAUACCGGCAGUCCCUUUCUUUUUCUUGAAAGUGACAGAUAGCCAGCCCUAAAGUUAGGGCCCCGGAGAGGAGAUAGGAUUUCUUUCUCAACUUUGAUCGACCCUUAUUUCCGAACAUUGACCAAUUCUCUCUCAUUGUUACAAUACAGACAAAAUGAUGGCGAGACAAUCGAUAUGUGUAAGUAGAGAAAGACCGGAUGGGCGGACGACUGCUUAUUCUGGACAUCCCGCUCCGUGGAGGUAAGCUCCGAAAGACUCUCUCAAAUCAAUUGGAAAUGCUAUGAGCUUCUUUGUCAAGUCAGCAGUAAUGAGUCAAGAGUAAUAUUUCACUAUUCAUAGAAUAUAGUCCUAUUUUCUUGGAAGUCCUAUUUCCUAUAAUCAGUUAUUUGAGAGUUGAUUCUCUCGGGUCAUUUUAGCAUGUGACUUACCUUAACCCUGUGUACUAGAGAAGAAAGAGGGAAGUGAGCAGCGCGUAUGACUUCCUUAGGAUAGAGAGGAGAAGGAAAGAAUAUGGAUUCGCACAAGAAUCAGACAUUUGCACUAUUUAACCAAGGCAGUGUGAACCCAUGCUUUUGUUGGGCAAACCGUGAUGAUUCACUUUUCUAUAUUACGCCGGCGAUAUCAUAUCAAAUAGAAGAACAUUAUUGACUAUUGCAGAACAUUAUUGACUAUUGCAGGUUAUGCCCUGCCUUGCUCUCUUAUAAGUGCAAUAUUCUAUAAAUUGAUGAAAAACACUCCUUAGCAUUUCAAAACAAACACUCCUUAGCAUUUAAUCAAAGGAUACAUUGCCAGGGCGUGGGGAAAAAGCGCUCAUGAAAGCGUGUAGGAAUAUCGAACCUCCUCUUCUUUGCUUUGAGAGCGCCAACUCUUAUUUCCGUGUUUUUACUUAAGUAUCGAAUUCUAGAAACUCAUAUGAAACCAGCAACAGAAUCAGAAGUUUUAAGAAGGAAGCAAGGCAUUGUAUAGAAAGUGGUAAUAUUAGAUUAUUCUAUACUAAACACAAACUCACGUAAGCGCUUUAGUUACUCAUUCAUUUUGGACUGAUACGCAUAUAAUAGAUGAUUUCUCAAAGAAUCUAUUGCCUAGCUUCAGUAAAUGAUACAGCUUAGCUUGCCUUUUCUUUUUGAUUGAACUAGUAGCUUGGCCGAACCACUUGUUUGUUGAUUUCUGCUUGUUUCAUGCACGUAUGAUAUAAUUGAGUCACAAACGACAGCAUACUUCUGGUUUACUUUACUUGAGUCACAAACGACAGCAUACUUCUUACCUAACUUGACUUCACUUAUUUAUAUCGGCACCUUUACAUCUUUCUAGAUUGAUAUCGGCACCUUUACAUCUUUCGAGGAGGCGGAAACUCUUGCUUUCAUGCCGUACAAAGAGGUCUACUGGGAUUGUGGGAAUAACCCCGCGAAGAAAUCAAAUGAAUGUCAGGCUUAAGAAUCUAUUUAGGAAAGGAAACUUAAGGAACUACUAAGAGCGGGCAGGGCAGCCAAAAACAUAGCUAGUAGGCGCCAAGUCACUGCUGCAAAGAGAAUCUUUUUCCGUAUAGAGGAAAUACUGGUCAAGAGAAAUGAACUGUUCUGGUCCAAACAAUAAAGUAAGAAAGCUUAAGGCAAAUAGAGAUUGAACUCUGCACCAAUAGCUUUGGAAAUCAUCCCAUGUCGUUGUUUGGUUGGAGCUUCUGCCCAGCUAUGUGCUAAAGAAUAAGCUAUAACCUGACCAUACUUCUAGAAAGACCUCAAUGGUACUUAUGGGAGUUUCAGACUUAUAGAAUGGACUUAUAGAAUGGCGCUAAUGAUUGGGCAUUCCAACUGAAACGAUUAAUCCCAACCUUAUAGAUCUCCUCCCUACUUAUUACCAACCAACCUUGUUAUAUCGGGGGAACUCCUCCAUUUCAUUCUAUUUCGGUACCACCGCUUACAAUCGACUCUACAAAAGAAGAGGACACUUUCGUAUAGGCUUAUUCUGAUCUCAUAUGAAACAAAUAGGCUUUCGCACUUCCAUUGAGACAGAAAGCACUUAAUGACCAGUUCCCUAGCUAGAAGUUCCUCGGUAGAUUGAUUCAAGUCUUAUUAAUAUGAGUAUAUCGAUACGAAACGAAACCGAAAUGGAAAAUUGGAUCACGGGAAAGAAAGGGGAAAGACUACCGAUACCGAGUACUACCGAGACAUUAUACCAAGCAAGCUUUGGGGUCAAAUAGUGUAGAAGGAAUUGGUGGUCAUAGAAGAUUGAAAUAAGUCCAAUAGUUGACGCCUUUAAGCAUCUUUCCCAUUGACCCGAGGCGUGCUAACAAAUAGUAGGGGCCCCCAUCCGAGGGACUUUGUUUGACUAUUAUUUCUGAAUAGGGCAAACUCAACCGUUCCAAGUGGAUUACUAGGCCCAUCAGGCGAUUCAACACAGACGAGGGGAAACCCUAAUGAUAAGGAAGAAAGAUCGGAAGACUCAUUAGGACUUGCUUGCGAGAACAACCAAAUGGAAUUGCUUUAUAGCUCUUUCCUAAGAUAUCUUCUUUCUCUAUCUAUGCCCUUAGUCCUCUCUCGAAAAGCAAUGGAAGGCCUUUUAGCUAGUUGAGUUCUUUCAUCGCCCCUGUCCCUCGUAUACUUUCAUUGUUCUUUUUCCACUUUCUUUUCGGAUUGUUGUUCUUACAAAAGGUUCCACUUCCCUUGAAGACGGACAUUUCAUGAGUUCCUGUUUGUUUUAGGAAAGAGCCUCGGCCUACUUGCUUGCCUAAGUUCUGAUGAAUGGGCUCAGGAGAUUAAUGAUCUUAGGUUUGAAUGAAAGACAGGAGACGAACGUUGUCGAUUGGCUUGGUACCGUCACUUUAGAAUGCACUCCUGGAAAGACUCUCGUCCAUAUUAGUUUCAUUGCACGUCCAUAUUAGUUUCAUUGCCCAACCCGCUAAGAUAUCAAACUCAUAGUUAUAGCUAUCGAUGAAAGUGCUAUCUACCUAAGGCAGCCUUAUUCAUUCGAUUGAGUUCCCGAUCGAUAUGAUACAUAUGGAUCAAAGACGCUCUCUCUUAAUUGCAUUCUAUUUAGUGAGGUCCGCUUGGCAUCCGGGUGAGGACAGAUUGGGUAGUUGGGGCCUCAUCCACUUUUCUGCUUCUAUUCUUCUUUCCUAUUAUUGAUCAAAUAAGGAAUCCAGCGCAAGCUUCGACUCAGUGGCAUGGCAGUAGAACCGACCAAUCUUUCUGAAACAAGGGUUAGGGUGGUCCCAUUACGGUGGAUUGGGAAUCAUACAUAAGGUAGAUCCCGUCAGAGUGAGCCGGGGAGAUCAAAAAGGAAAUGCAAAUCCGAAUAAAGAAGGAACUUCAUUUCAUGGAUACAGGGAAGAGAAGAGGGAUUGAAAGAAAGGAAAUUUGUUCGACAACGAGUUGAGUGAUCCAAUAGGCCCAUGUUGAGAUAGAAUGAUCCGAGCCUAAAUAAUCUUCCUUCCCAUCACAAUCCACUAAUAGUAAAGUAAAGGAAAGGAAGAGGCGCCCUUGCCAAGAGCCUGUUCCAGUCAUGGGAGUUUCCCUUACUCCGUUAAUUCGUUAUCUGUCUCACCGGUCUAAGCAGUACCUAUUUCCGGAACUAGUCAAUCGAAUCUUAGACUCGGCUUCCAAAAGUCAAAGAAGAAAGAAGGUAAGACAACGUUAGAUAGCACCCCCACUUAAGCCGCCAGUCAGACUAUCUCUCAUUUUCAUACGAUUUUCGGCAUCAAACAUCACACAUAGGACAGGUUAGGGAUAUAAGGGGAUUGCAGCUGGAGUCAAAACAAGAGUCAAAACUGGAGCAAUUGAAUCCGCCGAAUCCAGAACAAAGGUAGGUUCCUAACUCAUUGGAUAGCAUCAUUUCUUGGUCAGGGAUACCAUCAAAACAAAACGGAUUGAGGAGCCUAGACUUUACAGGGCAUAGGGUAGAUUGAACAGUCCUUUACCUUUAAGUGGCCUUCUUUCUCUUUCUUCUACGGAGCUCUUAAAGAAUGGAUCAGCUCCUAGCGUGACAAGUCCAAGGUAGUCAUGCCAAGAGCGGGCAAACACUGUGAUCGGAACUGCCCUACUAUAACUCCCAAUUGGCCUGUUAGGAUCGCUAGGUCCAUCAAAGUCUAGGAGAAACCCCAGUAUUCCAAAAUGACUCUUGGGGAGCAUGUCGUGGCUUGGGGACAGGAUUUGCACCAAUCAAACGAACUUGACCCUUUAGUAGAUCGCGAGAAAAGUGUUGUUAGGUUCUUUUUUAGUAGCAAGCAAUCGGAGACCUUCCUUUCCUAUUAGUGCUCCUUCCGCUUCCUUUGUAAUUGGACUUCGACGUCCUACCUCACGAAAAUCCAUUCUCCCAGCAACAAAGAGAUAGGUAUAUCCCCAAAAAGCAACAACGAUAUAGGUAUAUCCCCAAAAGAAAAUGCCCAACGGAGGUCUCCCUUGAUACAGAACAAUUCAAUUCGUCAUAGAGUGGAUAAAAAAAAGCACUUAUUUGGCAAAGCCCAACCGGAUCUUCUUUCUCUGAUGCGCUAGUACCAAAUAGACCCGCCGAGCGUACCGGCUACACCUCCAGAUUGAUCAGGUAUACUACUAAGAAUAGAGAAUCCGUGUUCACCUUAUAGUGAUUUCUAAGUAUCCGUUUAAGUGUUGAAUUGUAUUGUAAUAAAGUAGUCAAUUAGAAAAACACCUACUGGUCGAAGUGAAACUAAAGACUAAUGCACCUAUUCAUUUUCAUUUGGAACCUUCUCACUUAUUUCCCUAUCGGGGAACAAAGGCUAUACGAGAAUCUUGAGCUUGAUAGAGCAAAGGAAGUACUGAUUAGCUCUCUUCUUACCCUCUAGGCUAACAGAACUCAAACCUAAAGGAAGUCUCACGCUAAUAAGAGGUUUCGAAGAACAACGAGUCUCGAAGCAGAGCAGCGAGAACGAAUGUGAGAGGAGCGAAGCAGCUCAGGAUGUGGCAUCUUUCCUUCUGAGAUUUGUUUUAGGCCUAGAAGCUCCACCCAGAUGAAGCACUUCGGUUCGGCAAGAAUAUCAGGUUGGAUAUCGAUAAAGCAAAAGAGAAUCAGAAAAGCCCAUUAGCUAGAAAGCCAUAAGGACUGAAACCUAUUGAAUCGUAUCAAACUACAUCUUGACCAUGGAAAGUAGGUAUCAAAACAUUUGAAAGACCGCUAACAGAGAGAUCCUUUCACUUGCUUAUUUCCGUAAUCUCCUCCAUCCCUAUCCAUCCUUAGACUGACCAGAGAAAGAGAUAGCCCGGAUAAUACAAAGACCGCAUAAUCUUUACCAAUAUAAUAUGGUGAACUUUGAAAAAACCAUCUUAAGUGAGAGAAUUGGCAGAGGUAUUUCUAGCUUUUGCUAUAUUGAAAUCGAAUAUAGACUCUAAAUAGAUAGAAAGAUGACCCGAUCGGGCGUACCAUAAUAUCGCUCCAUACAUAGAAAUGCCUACAUUCUCCGCUCUUAUGUUGGGCUCUGCGCUUCCACCUACAAUCGGAAUGGAAAGAGUCACUAUAGAUAUGGUCAACACCCUAGCUUCCCCUACAAUCGGAAUGGAAAGAGUCACUAUAAGAUAUGGUCAAAACUAGAUAUGGUCAACACUCCAUUUUCUGCUUACUUUCUUAUAAUAUAAGGUAUGGGUUCGUUUUUUCGGGUGACUUUUGGGAAGAGGCAUGAGCGCAAUAGUUUACGCGAGCAGGUGAAUGCUUGCUAAGAGGGCUUUUCUUCUUCUUAGGCUGGAUCAAACCUCGGCUUCAUCGGAUGAAUGAACGUCCACCACUCCUACUAUCGGCAUACCGAAAAGCGGAGACUGAUUGGAUUUCUUCUAUCUAUGUAGCCAUUUGUUAAGUCAUAAUUCAAGUGUGGAGGUCAUCCGAAGAAAAACAAUAAAGUAUAUCCUUCCUAUCAGCAGUGUAAGGUGAAAGUUGCUGUAGUAUUGGCUUUCACUAACUUAAUAAGGUGAUUGUCAUAGGACCAACCCAUUUUUCCUUUGAUUUCGGAAUGGGGCCCUCUCCUUUCUGGGUUUUCGCUAGCCUACCACUUUUGGAAAGGCGCUUACAGGACCUGAAAUACCGGCUAUUGCAAGGAUUACGCAUGAAGUGAAGUGAGCUUUCUUUUCGUGUCUAACUAUCACACAGGUUACGAGAGGCAAGGGGGAAUCCUUAAGUCUCUACUCAGAGAAUACGGCCGAAGAAAGGCAACUCGUUAGAGUGACGGGGACUGUAGCAGACGAGAUCUCUCUAGCUGUCCUUAGGUUUGACUAAGUUUAUAGGAGUGAGUGAAUGCAGUCGUUAAGCCGACAAUGCUAGUAAGAUGGACAGAACAGGUAGCUUGCUUCCGAGCCACUUAUACAGUCAAUUCAAUCCCCUCACAUCUUGGCAGAGUGCCCUUAUCAUCUUACUACUAUACCCACCAGGGAAAGCAGAAGGCAUGACAGAGUUAUGGAAUCCGGGACAGGCUCGCAAUACCUUAGAACAAACUUCUCACUUUUACUCGGGAAAGGUAGACCCGGUCAAAUACAAAAUGGCUUAGUCGGCCCUUACACUAGAAUAUAUAUAUAUAUAGAAUAGGAUGCGCUUGCCUAAGAUACUCCUCUUUCAAGGUAUUAGCUUUUUUAUCCAACCAAAAAUAGUCAAAUAGAAUUAGUAGGCUUUUGGAAGGUCCAGCCUCAAUAAAUUCCUUCUUCUUAUUGUUUCGCCCGAGUCCGUAUUGACAGGAAAAUAUGGGAAUGAAAUACCGGAACCGGAGAACUGCUUUGCUUCACACCUAACCCUAUUUAUUGUCUGGGAACCUUCGACCUUAUAUGAAAAUGGCCUUGGUACUUUUACCCUUGGCUAGUUCGCAGAGCCAUAUCAGUGACUUUGCGUUCGACUGUUGCCAACUCGGGUGUUUUUUCUUCCCGAAUACUGCUUUUAUUAGUGAUAAUAAGUGGGCAACCUUCUUGGUUAGAGUUAUAGGACAGCGAAAGGUUCAAGUGAAAGCGUAAGCGAGAGGGACGAAGCGACUUCAAGUAUUGAUCUAUACCUACAUGGAGAGGAAUAAAGAAUAUGUGCACUUUCGGUAUGGGCGCUGACUCCGUUCCCUGGGUAGCCGAGGUUCACUCAAAGGGCCAAGCAACGACUAGACAAGACGGCAAGUAGACAAGAAACUAUGUAUUGCAGUAUAUGGUAGGGGUGCCGAUCAGAAUGAACCUAAGUGUCUAAGACAACAGCCGUCAAGUAAUAAAUCAACUAUGACUGGCAGUACCCGAAUCAAAGUAACACAUAAGAAUUCACCUCAUUGGUACACUCGUUUACCCCCUUCUCGACAACCUAGCGCAGUUGGAUUGGAUAGGAAGUCAGAAUCCCCCCUUACUACUAUAAAGAAUUGGGCAAGUGCCUAUAACACCUAGGCUUCCGUACCCUGCUUGAAGUUUGUAUUUCCCUAUAUUGAUUAAUUCCUUUCUUUGAUUCCCUUAUUGCUUUAUAGCAUUCUCUAACUACUUAUUGGAAUUCUUUAGUGAACCUGUGAGUCUGCCAUUCCUGGCCUGGGGUUUCAACCCAACACUCCGGUCUAUCAGGCUAUACGCCCUUGCCUCCAAGCCAUGACUCCUAGGAGCGAGAAUGAAAUCACGGCUAACAACAAUAGAACACUACCCGCAUAGACUACCUCUAUUACGGAUCAAAGCUAUGAAUAAGGUGCUGAAAGCCUACUACUUCUAAUAUGCUAAUUCGGAACUAAGACUUGAGCUAACAAUAUCAGAAGAAAGAGGUCUACUUUGUUCGGAAGAAACACUCCAACUUGCUCAUUUGAAAUAGCCCCUAUUGAUCUUUACCUUUGAUUUUCUUGCUCGGUUGAAAAAGACCUUUCCUUAUUUGGAGAUGGAAAUAUUAGCCCUUGGAAUGAAUUGGUCCCCCUUCCAGAAUAGGGCGUGUGAGAACGAUAACUUCGAAUACCAGCCCCUUCCACCAAUAAGUGAUCCCACCAUCGUACGUACGGUUGAGGAAGCGCAAAAAGCAGUCAUAGUACUUUAUUGACUUUAUUAGGUAGAGAAAAGCCUAUCGAAGUCUACUCUUCCCCUUCCUUCUAUAUGGGAGCUUGCAUUGAUGCCAUCUUUAUUAGCUUAGGAUCUCUGGGCCGUAAUACUUUGAUAAUAGCCGCCCUUUCUUGCUUUUGUAAAGGGAUAAGUGAUUUCUCCGGCUUUCGAACAAGCAAACAAACAACGGAAACAAACAAGCUUAGUAUAAACAAGCAAUGGCGUUCCGCUCACUACAGCGCGCUUAUUAGUAGUGAGUUAAGCGCUAACGGGAAUUCUUAGCUGCUCUGAUAUUAAUGUUUAAGGAAAGUCAACAGUUUGUUUAGACUGAUUUAUGUUACUCUGUUAUCAAAUCUGGAACUAAUAUGAAAUUCUAUUCAACAAGCAGUGAAGUGUUGUUACGAUGUUACAUAAGUGGUAAUUCCAUUCUUUCUGCUCACAAAGUCAAUCAAGUAUGAAGACCAAGACAAAGGAAUCAGACCUGUAAGCGGGAGUCUAAGAAAAGGUAUGGUUGGUCAGCUUGGUAAGGUAAGUCAGUUUGAAGAGUGAAAUGGGGAGCAAGAGACUCGAUCUGCUCCUAAAGAAAAAGAGGGUGCCCAUACUAGAUGAGCGGAGGAGCUUCAACACAUAAAUGUGAGCCUGGCAUUACCUCAUCCAAUAUUGAUUAUUCUGUUAUCGUAUAUGAUAUUGAAACUACUGUAGUAAGAAUGCGACUAGUACUUCCGGGGCCAAACACCACUUAUGAGAAUUUGACUUGAGAUCCAGAUCCUGUCCUUACUUAGUCUUAUUACUCGUAUUAUUAUACCUAGACCUAUUUAUUGUACCUAGACCUAUUACUCCAUUCCCUCAUCCGAUCCUUAGUAUUAUGUAUUGCACAGGGAGUGGGUCUAUGUUAUUAAUAAGAAAUGCACUAGAACAGCAUUUAUUUGGUGUUGAUGGGAAAUACAUCAUGUCAUACACCUAAUCGAUCUUCUAAUGACCUAUAACACUGCAGUAUCAUAAUUCAAUAAGUAAGUAGAGAACCAAGAGGGUAAACUAGUCCUUAGGGAAUAUUCCACAAGUAAGGCAAAGGCUAGGAUAAAGGGAUAUCGGAUUGGAAGCAAGGUGCUGAAAGCGUUCUAGUGACUUUUCUAAGGAUCUUCAAGUGGCAGAAGAAGCAAUAUAAAGGUCAGUUUAAAGAAGAAGCUGAUACCUCCGAGUUCUGAAAUUGAUGUUUUCCUUGGUCCCCCCCCCCGUUAUCAAAGUUUGGGCUCUCCAUCUGGGCACUCAAAUAAGAGAGCUAUGACCCGAUACUAAAGGAAGAAGCACGCACACUGUUUUCAAUACUAUUGAUUGAUUCUUUCGUUCACAAUCCCUGCUUGAACUGACUUGCUUGGCUCGGCUGGAGGCACCCGGAUCUAAAUUGAGAAGAACACCGAUAUAACCACUGACUAUAAAGGAUUACCCGUGUAGUAGAACUGACCUCAUGCCAUAGGCACUGUUAUCUAAUGGAGGAUUCCCUUCCCGUCUUUUAGCCUUCCUUUCCUGAUAGAGUAUACCUAUCAGUGCUUGGAGUCUGGGUUUACUGUAUAUAAGCCUACCCUUCUUAGCUUAAGGUCUCUUAACUCCUCUUUGCAUUCUUUAGAAGCAGUAGUACCCGCUUGGAAGCAAAGAAGUCAUAUUUACUACUACAACAAGUAAGAUGGAAUACCCGGGCAAUGAAUUCUUAUUAGUGCUGGUGUUGGUUUGAUCCCGGUUCAACUCUUUCCAGUAGCUCACCAUCGUUCCGCUGCCCUUGUUAGCCCUUCUUUCAUUCUACGAUGAUGGAUGAACUAUAUGCCAGUCGUAGUAGUAGUAAUGAAACCAUGACUAAGGAAUUCAAUCAAGUAGUAAAGUAAUGGAAGGAACGUAGUUAGUUGGGCGCAUGUGCGGAAUCGAACUCAGUAGUACGAGAAUCCACUUUUGAAGUUCGAAUUUCAAGGAGUCGUAUUUAGGGCUAAGGCGAGUGUUGAGUAUACAAAUUGCACUUUCCAGUAAGGCGCUACCAGACUAGCUCUUUGUAUCCUAAUCCAUAUUUCUCCUUUUCUUAAUCAGAACUCACUACUAGGUAGGCAGUAUGUCAGAAUGAAAGACAUUAGUCACAGAACUGGUUAGCUCGCCCCUUGCACGGAAUGAAAUACGGAAGUUCGAACUCAACACUACCUGAUAGAGUAGAAACAGGGGUCGGAAUGAAAGAAAGAAGGAAUCAUACUAAUUAGAAUAUGGGCUCCCUAUGACUAAGAAUGAGCAGGUGCAUCGGGUAAUCAAACUCGCAAAUCGGAGUUUCACUCAGCAGUAACGGAAUCCAGGGAAUAAGUAGAAGACCCUACUUAGCUAGCAAGUCAGAAUACAGCUCGUACGGGGAAGAAUAAAGCAGCGCACUCAGUGAAUCAAAAUCAGAAGUCAGGGUACAUCUGUGGGGGAAACUAGGGGAAUGGAACCAACUAGGAGAAUGGAACCACUGGGGAAAAAUCAUUCCACUACUCUCUAUGGGGUUGUGACUCCUGUCUAUCAGAAUUGAAUCACUGCAGGCAAGAAUCCACUUGGGAAUAGGGAUUUGAUCUACAAACAGUAUAUGCCACUCCGAACUCAAAGCUGGCUUUACUUGGGUUCAAACGGACGGACUCUCUUUGGUUGCAUACUGAUCCUAAUGUCACCAAUGUAGCUCAGCUAAAGAAAUCAUCCCAACAAGAGAAGAAUCAUAGACCUUUGCUCGAAUCCAGGAAAUCAAUCAAUAAGUAAUGGAAUGAAUCUACUAUAGACAUAAGGCUGUGACUUCUGCUUCUCAGAAACAAGCUACCGAUGAAUAAAUCUACUUAUAAUCUGAAUUUCGCUAAGAGCUUAGGGUCGGGAAACUCCACUAUUGAUAACAAGGCCGAUACAGUGACUAAAAAGAAUCGAAUCACUGAUAACAGGGCUCGACCCAGGGAAUUCCACUCUAAAGCAGUAGGCUUGAACCGACAUUCAUAAGAAUUUGACUCAUAAGUAGCAGACCACCAUCUAAACCCAACAAAGUCAAAUAAGAAAAUGUGGGAACUACCAUAAUUAUAGGUAGCAGGGGAAGAACCGAACUCGGAACAAGGAAACCAACCGCCAAUAAAAGGAACCCCGCUCCGAACUCAGGCUAUUGCUCGUCAGCUACAUUAUAUAUCUAUUGACUGAAACUGCGCGCUACUACUCCUUCCUGGCAUCCUUGCUUCUCUUUCUUUGGGUACCUCCUUUGGGUACCUCUGCUUAUUACGUCACUGUUGCAUAUCCGAAAUAGACUCUGGAGUAUAGCGUUAUUAGAAUCAAGCUAGUCAGAGUAUUAGUAUUAAGUAGUAAGGUAUUGUAUUGUAAUUCCACUCAGAAGUCAGAAGUCGACUCAAAAGUGAGAAUAGUCGUUAAGGUAGGCAGCUUCGAGGUCGAGGGACAGCCAAAGUCUCAUCAGGCGCCAGAGGAAUCACUUUGAUCUGUUGAGUUCUCAUGGUAAGUUGCUGAGGAGUUAAACGAAUACAAGUAAGGCUCGGAGUCUACACCCUUAUUUAGAAUGGCCAAGACACGAAAAUACAACUCUAAUAAGAAACUUCAUAUAGUCUAUUUUUUAGUGGUUUUCCUAGCGUAAUUAGAGCAAAAACGAGAUGACUCUUUCUGUUUUUUGAUUCUCAAAUGGUAGUUGUUUUCUCUUGAACGAUAGAGAAAGUUGCUUCGACCAAGACCGGAACGAUAGCUCUUGUGCACGACCGACCGAACGAACAAUGAACGAGGUACUACCUUCUAUUCCUUAGUUUAGAGCUAAGGGCUUCCACUUACUUCCGGAAUUCUGCAGUUAAGGUAUGAGCCCGCCUCUCCUAUGUUUUUGUAUGCCUUUCCUGUCUCUCCAAGGCGACUUCUCCUUUAGUGCAGUCUGAUUCCUCUCAAAGUAGGAAAAGCACUACAGGUAAACUGCCUAUAUGCCUGAGAACAAUAAUAAGCCUGAAAUAUUCCUCACUCAUCUUAGACUGAAACUGCUGGCACCUAACGCUGCCCUUACUUUACGGACUCAAACUCACGCCUAUCGGGCUUACUCCCUUACUUUCCAACUAGAUCUCUGCUUGCACUCACCAAGCCAACUAAAUACUCUUAGGCUUAAACUACUGUCUUCCAAUCUUGAUCUCCCCCAUCUUGGCCUGUGACUCCCGACCUCGAACCUUACUUUAUAGUUACAGAAUCAAAAACGACCCUAUUAGAUUAAGGCACUACCCUAUGUUGUUAGACUGUGGUCUACCAUAUUGGAAUGAAACUCAACAAUAAUCGAAUUGGACUCAUCAGUAAAAGAACUAAGCCGGUAGUCCGAAGCCCUAUGUUAUCUAUACAGGGAAAAGCCCUACUAUCAUCACUAGAAAACGGACCUAGCUCCCUAAUAUGCCAAGCCUUAUUGCCUUACUGGAAAACUAGAACAAAAGACCUCCGUCUUGCUUAUUUACCUCUAGCUCUUAACUAUCCAACUUAUUACCUUACACUUCCCUGCCCAAGCCGUACUCGCAGCAUUCCCGUUCUCUUGUGUUAGUCCUUUCGUUCCUAUCUUCUACUCUUUAAACAAUGAUCCAGAUCCUUACUUGACUCAAGAUUCUCCUGCCCUUCUAGCUCUCCAGUAUUUAUUCCACUACCGGGCUACAAUUCCCCGAUCUUAUUCUGACUACCUUUGCUUUUAAGCGGAUACUAACGCUACCUAGGCUUACUUUCCUUAAUGCUAUAUUCUUUAACCAACGAUCUGGAUAUCCUUUCACUAAUGCCUUAGAGCCUAUCCCUCUCUUUGCUUUUAUUCUACAACUACUGACUUCAAACCUUGCUUCCCGCCUACCAGUAUGCUCUUACUUUGUUUUCUUAGUCAUUGCCCAUAUCAGACUUAUGUCAGUAAGUCAGCCUCUCCUUAGCUUCAACUGGUAUUACUGUCCUCUAUUCUCUAUACGUGCACAACACAAUUACGCCCCUUACUCUUUAGGAACAGAUCUAGUCUCCGGCUUUCACCUGUGUCAUUCUGCAAACCAACCUUCUCAAACGGAACUCCAUCUUUGAUUCUGAAAACUUCCCUGCCCGAGCCUUCUUUUGACUAUGUAUCUAAACUUCCUUUCUUAUACUUGUUCCUUCCGCUCUUGUAGCUGACUCUUCAAUUACUUAUUAAGUUCUCAUAUAUUAAUGACAUGCUUUCCAAGCAGAUAUAUAGGUGUAGACAAGGAUAUAGGUGUAGACAAGGAUAUAGGCAUAGACAAGUCAUAACCAAGCAAUUCCGUCUAAUAAUAAAGAAAGGGGUUGAUACCAAAUUGAGCUCAAGUAACAAUAAGAAUGGAAGAGCUACUGUGGCAAACAUACUAUUCUAAAUCUACCUAACUAUAGGGCGGAAGCAGCUUCAGCUUCUUCUAAGACUAAACCAAGAGAAGGGGAGCCUCACUACAGCUGAUGAGACUGGCACUAAAACCUUCGCUGAUGAGACUGCAACUAAUACCUUCAAUGCUCAAUGCAAAAACCCCUAUCCAAACUAUGGCUUUACUGCCUAUGUGCCUGACUCUCCUUAAUCGAAAUCCUUAUUUACACUAGAAAGUCUUACUACUUUCCCUCGCCCUGGGGAACAGGCAAUUCUCUUUGACAACACUCGUACCGACACAAUCCGUUUACGUGCACUCAACUCUGACUUUAGAAGUGCAAUGAUAUUCAAAAAUGACACUAGAAGUUAGCGCCCAACCAACUAAGCAAAGAGACGAAGAGGUGUCCUGUUAUUUCAUUCUAUACUAGAGUAACUCAUUAUCAACCAGAAAUGAAUCAAUGAAAACUUAGACUCGCUUUCUCGCACCCGUACUUGUAGACGAACCUUGACCUGCUCCUGUUUCCUUAUCAUUAUUCUUAUCCUGUUUAAUAGACUUCCACUGCUUCCUUCACCUUAGGAUUCUAUGCUUCAACAAAGUCUCAAUUCCAUGAUUUUACUUGUGCGCGUUAGGAGAGGAGUUGGGCCGUUCGCAAAGAGAUGAUCCUCUCUUCCUUCGAUCGUAGAUGACACUGAUUUACUUACCGCUUCAAAGUUGUAUCGCACAAGGGCUUACUCGACAGGCAAGAAAGGAAUAUCGGCUAAUAAAAUAUUAUAGGCACCCGCUCCAACUAGAAGUGUUAACGCAACUAACCUGCUCCAACUAGAAGUGUUUAACGCUAUUAAAGCACCCGCUCAAAGUCGUUUUCAAAGUGUAGUUCGAGCUAAAGUGUCUGUUACUUAGGGUUCGUGGAAAGAGGUUCGGUGCUGUAAACUCUCCGUAAGCAUGAGAUGAGGCUUCUUAUCCGGGGAACUUUAUCGGGCUUCUCGAACUUUAUUGUUGAAGUUGAACGAUAAGGAGCUGUUUCAGUUCGAAAGUAAGCUUAUUGAAAGUACUUAUUAAGCUUAAGUAUCGGGUGAAGGAAUGACAGAGUAAACUAGCAUACUAAAGCAUAGUCGUGGAGAGGAAGGUGCAGACCCAGCCCAGUCCUAAUUCCAGAAUUAUAGCAAGAAAGGGGAGACUUAGAUGCCCAGUUUCGACUCACCAAGCAGCUACUAAUGACCAAGCCAGGCAAGCAACUACAAGACUGAAUAAGUGCCUAACCAGCUCGAUCUCAUCCCUAUCUGGCUCCUAAAACACAGAUGAUACUGGGGAUCCACUCGGAGAAUAGCUACCUUUUCCACUAGAUCUUAUUCUUACUACUAGAUGCGGGGGCCAAGCAACUACAGUUCCACUCGGUAUUCAGAAUCUACUUAACUGUCAACUCUCCUUUCUGAAGUGUUCUCCUAUAUAAGGGGAAUACCUCAUUACGUAGGGGACAACAGGCAUAGAUCAGAGCCAAACAAUUCUCUCUUUUGUUCUUAGCUUAACACAAGCACCCAACCCACUCAUAUUCUGUGCUAUCGGACAGCAAAGCAACUCUCUCCUCGGGCGAAACCACAUUGAUUCUUCAGGCGAAACAUCGAGUGUCAUCAUUCAUUCAUAGGUCGUUGGUGUACCCAAUCAGUCUUCUUAUAUUGCUGAUGCGCCCAAUCAGUCAGUCUGUUAGCGAACCUUUUGAUGUUGAUCAGGGGAUUAUCAAUUCUUAAAGGAAAGAGAACUCGGGUUGGUUAAGAGAGGAGCGAUUAGAUGAGAGCUAUAGUUUCUGAGAUGAGCAUUAGGCUCGGCUUCCAUAUAGGAUUACUUGAGCACCCAAAGAGACAGACUAGACUAUCCUCAUCUGUGACUCAAAUCUAUAUAAAGCUAUUUCUUAUCUCAAUUCUUUCAUCUCUGUGCGCCUGGUUUUUCUUAAGACGCCGCGCGUAUUUCAUGGCGUUAGUGAGUGGUGCCCAUGUCUCUGUCCUUAUAGUCCAUGGUGCCGUACUUAUGUUAUAUUCAAGGGGUAGGCUGCUUAUAUUCAAAUCUGCAACUUCAAGAAGAGAGAACAAACAACGGAAGAAGCGCUUAGUUUAGUUCAAUUCGCUCUUGUGCUUACGUGAGCUCUUUUGAGAGCCCUUGUGCUAAUGUGAGCUUUCGGGUCGGGGUACGUUAGAAGUUCGGAUGAGGAAUCUAGUUAAUAUAUAUAUAUAUAUAUUACUUUCUUAUCUAUUUUUAUGUACUUGAAAUGAAAUUGGGGCUAGUGACUGAAACAAGCGAGGGAACAAGCAAAGACUAUCUUAUUCUACGCUGGCGAAAGCAAAGGAACAGGAAACGGAACAAGACUAAGUGCUAACCUAACGCAAGAGUCAGGAGCAAGUCUGGUUUUCGUUGACUUUGUUAGUGCUAGUGAAAUGAUUUUCUUUAGAGCCUGUAGUCAGAUAAGAAGUCUGGUUACGCUACGCCAGCAGUAAUAAGUGAUGAAGAGCCAACUGGAAUAAUAAUGAAUACAUAUAUACCAAAUGCAUCAGUCAAAUAUGGAAAUGUUGCUGUUCAGGCAUCAAUGAAACAGUUCAGGGUACGAUAAGAUAAGUUGCCUUACUGAGUUGCCUUAGAUACAGAAUAUGGGUCAUACGGGAUUCCCUUACUGUUACUAAGGUAAAGAAGAAAGAGGUGUUAUCAAGUAAGCGCAGCAAGCGGGUAUCUCGGGCUAAAGUAAGCUACCAGUGCUACUACUAUUAGGGCAGCUAGGCCACCUACUAAUGUAGUUCAAUUCUGAGCUUUGAGUUGAGGUCGGCAAGGGAAGCUAUUCAAGUUGAGGUCGAUGGAAGGUAAGAAGAAAUUCCCAUGGAAGCGAAGCUCUAGUGCUGUUCCUGCCCCUUGUACUGUUCCUGCCCCGCUGCCUUAGCUUUGGCACUGCUUCCGCUCUCACUCAACUGGAAUUUCUGCACUCAAAGCAAGUACUAGAUGAUGACCUUACUUUCACCUUUCUUUCCUAAAAUGGGCUCUCUCUUCUCUAUAUUAUGAUUAUAGGCUACACAAGCAAAGGGUAUCUGAGCCAGUGAGUCUCUGGUUGCUAGUCUCUGUUCUUCCUUCACCCUGUUGAUUCUCGAACCUCUUAUCUGCUUUUUGAACUCUCACCUCUUAUCUGCUUUGUGUCUUGAUACGACAACACUCGAAACGGAACCUUGAGACCCAUCUCUGCCUCUCGAGUCGCCAACAGUAAACUGCCAAUAACGGAUCGAAACGACAAGGAGCUACAGCACCGACAAGAAGUGAUGCUAUUUGUUCAAGUGGUGCAAUAGAACAAGAGUUGUGUAAGAGAACAAGAGUUGGGGGUCGGGGUAUAGGGAAGGUAAUCCUCCAUCAAUCUUUCUUUUCUGCAAGUCAAAGCCCUUUCUUUGGAGACUUCUGCCGUUGUACUGGUCAUCUUUGAAGCUUUUAGUCGCCUUCUUUCCGCACGCAGGCAUUAUUCUUCCUAUUCUCGAUUAGACAGCUCAGGCAGUCUCCAAUCUCUAUUUGCGGAUGGUAGACAUAUAUAUGGACUUGGUUUCGGUACUGAGUGAAAUUGACUACCUGCUUGAAUACCAAGGAGGCUUCCCCCGUCGAACUGAAGGACUAAAAAACGAGGAAUAGGAAAAAAACCUACGCUGCUAAUUCUGGAAAGUAGUUUAUGACUUUCCUUUGUCCUUAUUUUCUAUGUAUUUAUAGAGGUUUAGUGCUACACCGAUGCCUUCACAUUUGAAUGAGUGGCUCUUUAUGCUAUAGUGAGAAGUAUGAGUAUUGCCCUGAGGCGGACCCUGAUUCUCUUUGAGGUUAAUAUCAAUUCUAGGGUAAACAUUGAUGGAGCCGAAGCCGAAGUCAGUCCUACUUUAUUGAUGAUAGGAAUCGCCGUUCUCUUCUUUCAAUCCCGCCUUAUCUGCUGAGCCUAUCGAAGAAAAAGGUUUCAGAAGAAUCAUCAACUCCACGGGCGUUUGUUUUGAUAUUAGAUUCAUUAAGUAUGCUUCACCGAAUCCAUUAAGUCUGAUGCUGUGAAAGCCUUUGCGAGGCCCAGGCUAAUAACCGAAAUUUCGAACUGUGUUGCAUGGCUUAAGGAGUUCUAAGAUUGACUCGCGAGAAGCUGGAAUCUUGCAUUUGUUACCGAUGAUGACAUGUUGGCGCAAAACCCCUUCCAAAACUGUUCGUGCUAUGUUGAAGCAGAGAUUUAUGGGGUGGCCGUUAAUAGAGGUUGAUUCCAACUCAUUAGUCAAUCUCAUACCUAUGUAAACUGUUGAAGCGCUAGGCAUUCCCCAAGAAAACAUUGGAGGAGCCACCUAUCUAGUAUAUAUAUAUGAUUGAUUUUCUUUAGAAUUGUCAAAUCCAGGUUAUGAGGAAUGGGAUGGUAAGAGUCAAUUGCAACGUUGGACCUUUCAAGAGUCCGAUAGUGUUCCCGGUUGUUUUUGCACCGACGACAUAUCACGCUCUUCUGGGCAGACCAUAGAUUCAGAAAGACAAUGCGGUCCGGUCCCGUCGACAUACCAUCAAUGCCGUCGACAUACCAUCAAUGUAUUAAAGGUAGAAGAAAAGGAAAAGGGGAUAGAGUACCUGCGGUGAGCAUACCCUUCGAAAGAUCAGAAAUCCAUUUGGAUGACCCUAUCCAUUAUUCGGAGUUUGCCGAGGAUGGUACGCCCUGGAAAGGAAUAAGAGCCAGAAAACAACAUAAUGACCAUGUCAGGUAACCAGGUUACUAGACAAUAUUGGAAAAACCGCCACUAGGCUUACACUGAGUCCUAAGGACGCAAGUCAAGCUCGUCCAAGGCCUUACCUUAGAUUUCGAUUGUUGGGGUGUCUCUGUAGAAUUUCUCUCUCUAUAGGACCAGUGCAAGUUGGAGUGAUAAGAUAAGCGCUUUCGAAUACCUCCCACGCCUUAGAUAGAGUUCUGUUCCAUUUCGUAAGCGAGUGUUCCUUUUUCUUACUUCCAUUCGCCCCUACAAUUGCAGACUCCUUGUCAGAAUAGUUAUAGCACAAGGGAAAACACUAGCAAGCCAAUUACAGUCUGUCGGUUUUCGAAGGGCCUGUUGGAAUUGUAGUUCUCUUUGCUGUUGUGCCAAGCGAGGGAGUUCUUUGAUAACUAUACCAGAAUUAGGGAUAAGGCAAGUUUUCUCUAAUAGGAUGAACUUUCUCUUGAAGUAGGUAAGAGAGUGAGCCCGUGUCCUCCUCGGGGAAAGGCAAGCCAUCUAGUCUCAGUGCAAAUAAUACCCUAAAUCAAGCUAAUAAGACCCUCAUUUCAUAUACCCCUUUGUUUGAGAAGUGUUUGUGUUGCUAUUAGCAUUUCAUCCAUUGGGAAUUCCCUGACAUCUAGAGUUGAGUUGAAGUGCCUCUUAUUGCCUUUACAAACAAUUGGAAGUCCCUUCCUUACCGUUCGAGGAUUGACUCGAGUGUCUAGAUAUCAGACUAGUUAUCAAGUUCCCGAGUCACAGCUAUUUUCUUUGAUUUGGAUGGGUUACACCUACGGAGCAAGUCUGCUUUUAAGCAUUAUAUGAGUAAGCAAGGACUGUUGCUAACAAGAUGAAGCAUAUAAGCGGGGACAUCCGCCUCUUCGCCAUAGCUAUAGCAUUCUUUACCAUAUAAAGAUGAGUCUAGAACAUCUGUCCGUCAGUCUCCUUACAAGAAAAAGAGCCCUUCCUUUCUUAUCUCGUAUAUUGACUAGAGGCAUAUUCGAUUGAAGUUGAUUCUUUCGGGCAUCUUAGUAAAUCAGGUUAAUCCCGAACUGCUAAGUCCUAUUUCUGAUUUAUGGAAUUUCUUAUUUAUUGAAGAUAAUCACAAAGCAGGCGGAUGAGAAGGUAAGGUGCCAAGGUAAAGGCUAAGCGACGUAUCUUUCAGACCAUAGGUGAACCACCUUUCGCUAAGGAAUGAAUUGAAGACCGCUGGGGAACUUCUUCAAAAAGAUGGAAGCGUGGGUGUCCCCUGUCUUUAUCCGGAACUUCUUCAAAAAGAUGGAAGCGUGGGUGUCCCCUGUCUUUAUCCUAGAGUUAUAUUCAAACACUAUUCUCAAGUGUUUUACUAGGCUUUCGCUUUCCCUUGCUUUCGGGCCAGCAGGGCUUUUUCUACUAUUCUUGCGGCGGGGCGGGUUCCGUCAUUCUUAAAGCGGAGUCUUUGUCCACUAUUCGCUGGUAAACCUAUUCUGAAUCUUCUUUAGGCUCAUGACAGGACUUGCUCAUAACUUGGUUGAAGAUAGGAGAAUGUUUAGGAGUUCGCUAGGGAAAGACGAGAAUCAGCUUUACUAUGACUCAGACUCUUUUGCUGCCUGGUUGUACGUUAUUUGAAUUGCCCCGUGAAGCAUCUGUUGUUGGAGGGGUUCACCUUGAUGGGGUUCGAUUUCGUAGAGCUCGGGAUGGAAAACCAAUCGAAAUGACUAUACGAUUUCGGUCCCUUUAUCCGGUUGGGUUGUCACAUCCACGUUGGCUAUUGUUGGCGAAACAAAUCUGAUGGGAUAACUAGUAUCAAACAAACCCACUCGGUAAGUCAAAAGGGUUUAAGUGAGGAUCAGUGCCCUUCCCGUUUUCUAUUACGGACUUUUCUGCUUACUAUUGAGAAUGUAGAGCACCUGAGGAAGCCUUCAAUCUAACAAAAAGGAGGGUUGAAGCAAAGCCAUUUCGAUGUACAAACUUGCGUUCCUCUAGGAUGACCUUUGCAGGGCUGGGCAACCCUAUGUCUUUCUUUGACCGAAUGGCUUUGAAAGUUGCUAACUCGGUAGUUGCUCCCUAUUCUCGAACUGGAAAAUGAUGAUGAUUAUGACUACUUACCCAUAACUAUACUCUGAGCAAUAGCAUACGAUUCAGUGAAAGACCCUUUUCUUUGGAACCAGACGCUUAGGGAAGACGCUUAGGAGUUAGUUGAGUUCGGACGAGUCAGUAAGGAAUCCUCAGGCCUAGCCGAGUUAUGGCCAGCAACGGGUCUUGUACUCUCAAGUAACAGAGCUUAUUGCGAACUUUCUACAUCCUAUGUAUAUUCAUGGAAUUCUCAGCAACAACAGAUUCAGUGGUAAGCCCGCUUCUUAUCUAUUUCUCUGAUUAUCUUAAGCGAUAGCAGACUUUCCGGCUCGGUGAAAGAGGUUGUCUCGUCCAUCUACUGAGUCAGUUACAUAAGUGGUAUCCUCUGAAGCAGCCAAUUCAUUAAUAACUAAAGAAGACUCGGUUCCACGGGCGUAUGGGAAAGGAGAUGAAGCAACAUCAGUGGUAUCAGCUAUGGAAUAAGAUGCAGGUUAGUCUUCUUCGUUGUUCUUUCUUCUUGCUGUAGCCAUUUACGCUCCCCAACGAUAUAAGUACGAAAUGACUCACUAGUCUAGUAUAAAGAAUAUUGACCGGCGAUUUACGAUAGGGCCAAGCUAAACCCUUAUCCAUCAAUUCAAACCUUUCGUCCCGCCUCGCUAACCUAUCUUUUAUAGUCGUCCCGCCCUUCUUUCCUUGCUUGGGCCUUCCUGCAGAGGACUUGAUUUACGCUCUCUCAAAUGAGAAGAUCCGUUUUCAGGUAUGUACAAAAGGGUAAUCGUAAAUGAAUCAUCAUAGGUUGUUUCCAGAAUAAGGGGCUUAUGACUUUCCUGUUUAUGCAAGUAACUUCACUGCCAAUUUAGAUACGAAUGAUAGCCCGCAACAGACCAUUCUCAGGGCACAACAGGCUAUUUUCUCUUAGCUUAUGCUGCUUACAACGAGUAGGCUCUUUAGUUUUAUAGAAUCGAAUAGUCUAUUUAUAUUGGCAUUUCUGGGUAAGGAAUCUUAGAAUGUUAAGGUGCUCCAUUCCGAAGUUGCAGGUAAGUCUCGAUGUUCAAAUGAUGGGUCAUCUUUUUCUAAGAUCUCAAAUGGCAGGGAUGGGUCAAGACUAUGAGCCUAGCUAGGUCCAUUGUCACUAAUCCGAAUCCGCAGAAGAGGAGUGGGCACCCGAAGAUGCUAAAGGAGCUAGCCCCCAAAAGAGUAUCUCGAAUAAAGCAAAGCCCCAAAAGAGUAUCUCUUAUAAAGAGAAUCAGAGUUGCAGCACUUUUGUUACUAGCUUCAAGUAAUCAUCGAUAACGCACGCCCACCUUCCCCCUUUAGCUUAGUCUUCUAAGUUCUCUCGGGUAGGGUUAAAGACAUCUGAACGUAACGCUUCCUCUCGUACUCUCUCUUUGACUUUCCGUCUAGUGCCAAGUUUUGGAUUAUACAAAGAAAGUGCUACACGGACCAGUUUCGAUGAAAGCCCACAGAAGGGCCAAAGCACAACAAGCCUACCCAUCAUCAAAACAAGCCCAAGCCCAUGCAAGAAUUACCUCAUUGUCAUGGAAGCCCUUUCCUUACUCCUCAAUAUAGUCUCUUUCUUACCUACUCUCAUGGCUUGGGGAACGGGCCCCUUAGCUAGCGCCUAAUCUCAUUUCUUUUCUUUUGUAACCUCGUGCGAGUCUAGCUCUUACUGGUCUAGGAUUCCCGUUAUCACUAGUCUGAGUGCCCCGAGAUCCAGUGCCCGUAACGUCAUCUGUCUAGUCGGAUACUUUGGGAGGAAUCCCGCUUUUUCUUUUAAGUCCGUCAUCAAAAGCAUAUAUUCUGCAGAAUAGAAUAGGAGUUGAACUCACAGGGACAUCAUCGAGAUUGAUAAGCUUAUCUUACUCUCGAAUAAAGAAGGAAAGAAAUCAAUAGGGUUGUGACUCAAAUGGAUCGUUGACAGAUAACCUGAACUCUCUUUCUGUUCCUCUAAGCGAGAUCUCGAGAAAUGCCAUUGGGGGCACUCUCUGAUACGCGUUGUAGACAUAUUCAGAGGGUCGAAGCAGCUUCCAAUUCCAUUUGUAGAGGUAACCCUGGCUAGCCCGGAUCCGUCUCAGACGCUAACGAAGAAGGCAAAGUCCCCGAUCACUCUGCAUGCUUAUAUUCUAACUUCAAGCUAGGGUCGACAAAGACUUCAACCAGCAGUCAUAGGUAAUGAGCCAGCAGUAGAUUCCAAGUCCUGAACUCCAAGUUCUGCUCGAGCAGAAGAUUCCAGUACUGGUGCGCAAAAGCGAGUUACAGCUAGAGUCUCGGGUGCGAGUGUUUCAUCUGUUUAAUGUAGUGUUGAAUCGAGUGUUGGCUUAGAAGCGGGAAGGUAUUGCCGAAACUUUGUAUCUAGUCUGCGGUUCAUAAAGUUGAGUUCGACAUCCGUGUUAUCGACUUGGAUCUUAUACAAUAAAGAAGCCCAUAAGCCUGAGAUCAUGUCCAAGUAGCGGUGCGUGCGGUAUAAAGGUGGAGUCUCAAGAGGAAGCAGCAAGCAUUGUAUAGCAAUCUGUAACAAGACAGCUCUAUACUUCCCCUUUGUAACAAGACAGCUCUAUACUUCCCCUUUACGAUAGAAUGGGGCAAUAUUCGUUAUUUAUAUACAGAGGGGCUCGAGAGAUUAAAGGAAAUUCCGUUGUCGUAUUGUUUGGCUGUUGUCGGUUUAGAGAGUCUCUUUGCUGUGAGUGCUAGCUUGAGUGGAGUCUCUUUGUCCUUUUUCAGCGCUAAGUACUGAAUACGAGUUACAGAAGCAAUAAGCAAACAAACAAACAAAGGCUUCCACAACAGGGCAUUAGUUAGCUUUGGAACAGAACAAGAAGCAACGCCCAUUAUGUUGUGCGUUUGGAGUUGUAGUGAGAGAGAUCGUUUUGGAGUAAGCAAUGCUGUCAGCAGUUAGGUUUCAGCAUGCAGUAGUGAAGGUUAAUCAAUUACAAUAGAGCAAGGAGUUAUAUGCUAUUUGCAGUGGCUCGUAAGAGGAGCGAAGUUAAUCUAUUCCAUCUUAUGUGCAUGAAACAAGCAAGGGUCCGAAGGAGCAAUUCUCUUCUUUUGACUUUAUAGGGGUGGGUUCCCUUUGACUUUCAAUGGGUAGGUUCCCAUCUUCUUUUGUACUCAAUGCAGUUUAGCCGAUAUUCCAUGACUAGUUGGUUUAAUGAGGUUCCUCUAUUCUAUAAGUUGUGCAUUCAAUUAAAGGUUUACUUCACGCUCUCCCCAACUCCAAUGCUAGAGCAAGUAGAAGGUAUCUCAUCGGAACAAGCAACGACGGGUGCUGUGUAUUUAUGAAAUUCUAUACCAUGUGCUCGACGACGAAUACGGGAACCUCCAAAUCCAAGAAUCGACCAUGACAACAAUAUAUACAAAUGCAAAUCCGAGUUUUGAAAGAGCUCCCCUAAGGCUUAUUAUUCGUUACUUGUUGGAUCAGGGAAGCGUUGCGGAAGCCUAUCUUAGUUCUUAAGGGAAGCCAAAGGAGUGCUAGUAGAAAGUAUAAGGUCAGAGGUAAGCAAUAAACAGUGAAUUGAGAGUGUUGUUACUCGAUACUAUAAGUUGUUUAUUUUAUUCCAUUCUUGAGAGAAAGAAAGGAGAUUGAGUAUGAAAGAAAGCCCUUCAUUUAUAGUUAAGCUUGAUAAGUCAAAACACUGCCCUUACGGGUGCCUUAGCCGACAUCAAUCUGUAACUCAAGAGGUUAGUCAAGUAAGCAGUCAGCAGAACAAGAAGCACCUUUCUUUUCAUUGAUACAGAAGAUCCGCCCAAGGGCUUUUUCAGCGCUAAGUCAAGAAGUGUAAUCGUUUUAAGAAUCGAAGAAAGAGUGGAAUCUACAAAAGAAGAAGUGCGAAAGGGCCAAGUAACUACGUAAGUGUAGCGGCAGUCCUGAGAAGAUAGAUUGACUACUUGCUUAACACAAGCACUCAACCCAGUACUUAAUGGAGCUGAAGUCAAACAAUACCCGAAACUCCGCUUUGGCACUAAGAAUAAGGGAACCCGGUCUUAAACUCACACUCUCACAGUACUUACCCGGCAAUUCAAUAAGUCAACUAUAUUCUGUAAUUCCUCCACAGACCUAGACUCUUUAAACAAAUACUUUUCUUGCUCUGGACUCUGGACCACUCCUCAUAACAAUUCCUUUCUUUUCUUGUCUUAGAAAAAAGAGAGAGAUCAUCAGCUAGAUUAGAAUCCAGAGAAAGAUCAGAAGCCACAGAAUAGACAAUUCCAGUUCUAGGAUCAUCAGCAAUAGAAGAAACAGAAUCAUUAUUGUUACCCGCUCCCUUCAGAGAAAAGGGUAACCCUGUAGAGGAUAGGACACUCUUUAGCCCAGAUCAGUACCAAUAGAUCAAAAUGAAUCGAGUGUGGAAUCUGUGGAAUCGUGAGUGGAAUCCUAUGUUUCAGCUGGACUGGAUCCGUAUCUUCAGCGAAAGAAGCCAUAAGAUAAGGGUAAGGGUGUCGAAAUAAGGGUAAGGGUGUCGAAUAUAGAUAUAGAUAAUUUUAGACAUUUAUAUACUUUAGCUCGAAAGAUUCUAUUAACCAAAGAGUCGACUCGGCCAAAGAUUCCUGUCCUUGUUUACUUCUUGGGUCAGUGUCUUCAAGUGAGGUUUAGUUUCAUCCGUUUGUCUUAGAAAGAAUCCGCCGUUAAGUAAAAAAGGGAAGCUGUGUUUAGAUAUAGAUAGAAAGGGUAAUAAUACUUCUAUACCUUAUCUACUUUAGCUCGAUAGACUCAAAUAAGUCUUAGUUUACUGAAGCAUUAAGUAUUGCCAGUGGAGCUCAGAAAGACUAAGUGAGCAUUAAGUAUUGCCAGUGGAGCUCAGAAAGACUAAGUGAGCCAGCUAACCGUGAGCUCCUCCAUUCCUACAUAUGCAUAAGAAAUAGAUUCAAUGACUAUUUGAACAAGGCGCAAGGUAAUAAACUAGUACUGUUUUCGACGUAAACGAGUUGUCAGUUCCAUUUCCAUUCUAGUUUGACUCAAAAAAGUCCUUAUUUCGAGGCAGAUAUAAAGUAAGCGGGAAUAAAAUCCAAAGGGUUGCGGGAAGUUAAUCACCUGUUCCAGACUUACCGGUAGUGCACUAAAGAAUGGAAGUCACUUAACACCGUCGGAAUCACCGAAAACAGGACUUGCUAAGUAGAAGUAAGUACUAGAAUGGGGUAAGAUCUAGCACAUCUAGUAGAGGACAAGUAAGUAGAAGCCUUAAAGCAAGGUCAGCAGUUAGAGCAGUGAUAAAGUAAGCAGAAGCUAGAUUUGCUAUUAGCAGAGAAGAGCAGCCCUACCCCACAAAGUCAGUAAACAAGCCAAACCUAGCAACUUGACCAAACCUAGCAACUAGUACACAGUCCCAUACUAGCUACCACUGGUUGAAGUCUUUCCCUCAUUAGCAUCGGUCUUUGAUUCCCUCGGUUCCGUCUUGCUAGUAGUAGUUCUAUUCUGCAAUUCCGACUUAUGAGUUGGUCUCUUACUUGCUGCCUACUAGCUCACCUCUGAGUUUCAUUCUGAGUUUAGUGCUCGGAAGAUCCUUCUUUGUCCUGUGUUCGCCAGUGAAUCAAUCAGUUCAGGUGCAAGAAAGUCAUCAUUGAAUGCAUUUCAGAAUCUGUCUUUUUUGGAAUUUUCAUCUAUGUUUUCCCGAGGUUGAUGCAACAAAUACUUUAUUUCCAUCUCUCGUCUCUUUCUCCCAUUAGCGCAACCCGACCCGAACUCUGCUACCCUUAACAUCAAGUCAGGUUCCGCCUUAGUAAUUACUAAAUCCAGACCCCCACCUAUAUCUAUCAACUCUACUUUCUUUCUUAACCAACAACACGAGAACCUCCCGAAGACUAUUCAACUCGAACAGAGCCACUUGCAGCACUUGCAUCUUACGAGACAACACACCUCUGAUUCUCGAGUUUACUUUCCUCCCCAACUACAGAUUCCUCUGAUUCUCGAGUUUACUUUCCUCCCCAACUACAGAUUAUUCUGAUUCUGCUUUAUACUCUGAUUCCAGAAUGACUGUAUCGUUUCUAUACUCACCACCUUAAGUAGUCAUUUUCUAUUACCCGCUUACACCUGAAAACAACACUUUUGCUCAACAAGCUACGGAACAAGAAAAAAGCAAUGGUGCAUCAUAUGACACAAACAAGGUCUCAAAGGGCAAACAAAGAAUCUACACAACACAGUAAACCGGAGCAGAACCCACUUAGCCAAGUCCUGUCUUCGUAGAUGUUUUCACGGGUCAGAUGAAGACACGGGUCAGAUCAAGGGUCUCAAUUCCAUUCCCCGCAUCUAGUAUACGCUUGGCUUGAGCUCUCCUACUUAAUAGAUCAAUUACCUUUUUGGACCUUGUUGUGAGUUAUCGUAAUCGUAUUAGUAUAGUAGUAGUUGUUUUACUAGGGCGAGUAGGUACGAAAUACUUGUUAUGUACGGGCUAGGGUAUGCUUGUUUUCAUUCCUUUACUAGGUUGGGUAGGCAAGAAGAGAAGAGAUGAGCCAGAGGUAUCGGAUAAGAAUGAAUUUAUAGGAGCCGACUGAAGCAAAUAAGAAUCUCAGAAUGCAGUUUCCGGGUUGAAGUUUGACAGUAAGAGUAGCUUGCCCCAACUCAGUGGUUAAAGCCUUAUUGUCUCCUCUUUCAUUCCAGUUUCUUUCUUUCCUCUUUCUCUAUUGACUACUUGCUGAACUCAUGGGUUAUACUACUGGAUUAAUGAACUACCUUUUCUCUCUUAACUAGGGAUUAAACAAGUCAUUCCACAAGCACCAGUUCAAUCCAUUGGAGUAGUAGCUAAGGCCCCGGCCCUGUAUUGUUUCCCCUACUGCUCAAUUCUUUGACUUACUUACUCGAUCCUUGUACUAAUAAGUUGAUUUCUUAGCCAGGGUAUAUAUCCUUACUUGAGAGUUGAGCUACGCCCCUACGACUCAAAUCUUUACUUACUUAUAAGAAAUACGGAAUGAGCUAAAGCAGACUCACUUCUGAACUAAGUAAUGUCAGUAGCAGGCCUAUAAUUGGCGUAGGUAAUAUAGAACUACUAAUCUAAUAUCAAUUGAAGAAUCAGAUAAAGGAAAGUAAUACUAAAACACAGGAGAGACAUAUUCCAAUCUAACAAGUAAGGUUUUCAUAGCAAAUACCAGAAUUCAAUCCAUUGGUCAAAGAAUAGAAGAUAGGUUAACAGGCGUGUUCGUUAAAGUACUAUAAUGGCCUUCCUUAUUUACUGCUUUACUGACCGUGCUCGGAGUAUACGAGUUAGGGUCGUAACCGCUUAUGCUCAAACAAAGAAAGUCAUUUCGUGGCCAGUUCCGCUCACUACAGCGCAAGCAACAUAAUUCUACCAAGCUUGUUCCUAACUCUGACUACCGAAGCUAUUGGUGGUUAUGAAUAUAGAUCCGAACGAUGUGGUCUUAGUAAUAAAUCAGAAGCAUAUCCAUUUGAAUGCGGAAAGCUAUAGACUAGACAUUCCCACAAGCAAGAAGAAAGCUCAUCUUUUCAUUUAACAUCUCCACAAGAGCAAGCCGGACUCGCCUGAGGUUCACAUACUUUUCUUUCUUGGCACAAAAGUGGAAUGGGCUGGCUAAAUCUUUUGCCAAUCUCUAAAAUCACACUAAUGUCCAAAAAGGUUGAGGGCGGAGUGAAGGCUUCCGACUAGCAGACUUGACAUCAAGUUGUUACACCUUCCCUAUUUCUUAUUGAUUGGUUUGCUUGCGACCGGUAAAGAAAGGAAUGAGAACGAGGGCUCCACAAUCACAGACAAAAUAAAGAAGAAGGACUAUACUAAUAUGGAAAUCCAUACAAAAUAUAGAAAGAAGGACUACUAUUGCAAUCCAUCUUAAUGAAAUGGGACCAAGCGGUUACAGACACCAAACAACGGCGCCCAAUGAACCCAACAACAUUCCUUUACGAAUACUAGAGACUUCAAUAUAUUCUAAUUAACCUAGCAACAUUCCUUUACGAGUAAUAGACACUUUUCUUGAUUAUGGAAUUGAAAGAAAAAGUGACAUACGCAAGGCUCUUAGCACCUUCAUAUACUAGUGGAUUAUAUUAUACUUGUUAUCUGCCUAGGUACAAUACAAUUACUUGUUAUCUGCCUAGGUACAAUACAAUGGAUAUGGAAGAUCUAAGCAUACAUGUGGGAUAUAGAGGAUCUAAGCAUGUGCUCCUUAAAACCAAACCUCGAGGCUUUCCUAGACGAAAAUAGUAUACUUUUGAACUCACUCUUACUGUAGCUCACAAGAAUCAGUAUUUGAUGAAGACCCGAUUGCUUUAUAGAUCUAGCUUCUGCUUGAACUCUCCUAUGGCAACUAUUAACUUCAUUCUUAUUGAUUACUCUGACUCCGAUACAACUACUUAUACUACUCGUUUGGGCUGUAACCCAGGGUCUCUUGCUCUAGUACUGUUGCUUGCUCGGCUUGUCUAGUAGUUGCUUGGCCCUUGGUGGACUUGAAAGAAGGGUUUGAAUCUACUUAUACUCUGUAAACUCAUACUGAUUCUACAGGACUCCUACUUUAGAUGCAACAGGACUCCAUGACUUAACGAGCACUUCCACAAUCACUCCUACAGUUGCUACUCUCUGAACUCACUCCUAAGCUUCCCUAUCUUAUUCAUCUGCUCCUUCACUCGAGCAGGACUACUACAUUAUAUCAACUACACCUAAGAACGAACCGAGAGAUCAACUACACCUAAGAACCGAGUGUGGAAGGGACCCACGGAACAGGAUAAGCCGUGUUCGGCGCGAAUGCUAAUGUUGCUAAUGUUGCUAGGGGACAAAGAGCUAAUGUUGCUGAGGUAAUAAAACGACUAAUAUGCUUCUAAGCCAACUCAGUACCCGGCACCCGAAACAAUACUGGAAACUGCCAAUCUCUCACCUAUUGCUCCCGACCGGAACUAUCCUCGAAAGUCACUUAUGGUUUGUCUUCCCAUACCUCUCUGCUGGCUCUACUUUCUUUCUUUAUAAAUAAGAAUAAUAAGAAUAUUCCUUUCCUUUCGCCACCCGACCCGAACUCUAUUACAAGUAUCCGAUCUUUGCACAGAGUAUAUUAAGUAGCACGCGAAACUUCCCGCACUGGAUUGAUUGCCCCGAAGACUAUACGGGGGCCCUUUGUUAUUUCAAUGAGUUAACCCCGACCCGCACUCAUUGCACCCACAUCCAUGGAUACAAUUAAUUGAACCCGACAAGACGACAAGCCACUACUAGCGAGUCCUAAUUAAAGCGUCAGCGAGUUCAUGUCGCUAAAGGGCCGCUCAUUGAACCGAACCCACCAUACCUAUGUUAACAAUACCGGAAUUCGGAUGGUUCCUAUAACUCUGACUAAUUCCUCUGUUUAUUCCGAUCCAAGACUUCUUUACUUAUAGCUUACUCGGAUUGAUUGAUUGAUUUCCCGGUUAACUACAAUCUUUCUUUCCUUGCUUACUUUAUAUGAUUCUCUUUCUUCCCUUGAUAAUGAAUAGAUAAAGUAGCUUCUUCUCCCCGCUUCAAAGCAAGUACUUAACCCUGCCCCUAGUCGCUUGGUGGAUUGAUUUCUUUCAAAGAGGAAACUCGGUUUAGCCUUAUUCCUUGCCAUCUGACCCG
This 51910-nucleotide long non-coding RNA is filed under the name Musa acuminata (dwarf banana). RNAcentral describes it as "long non-coding RNA (MACU_LNC008910)". Lineage: Eukaryota; Viridiplantae; Streptophyta; Magnoliopsida; Zingiberales; Musaceae. The record is from RNAcentral.